This 56272-nucleotide long non-coding RNA is filed under the name Hordeum vulgare. RNAcentral's name for it is "long non-coding RNA (HVUL_LNC021673)". Lineage: Eukaryota; Viridiplantae; Streptophyta; Magnoliopsida; Poales; Poaceae. The record is from RNAcentral.
UUUCUUCUCCUAGGAAUGCUAUUUAACCGGACAAUGGCUAGCACAGCAUACAUAAACGAUCAUCUCCUCAUCAACAACCUCCUUCUAAACCUGUCAUACCCCGAGGAAGUAAUCUCAAGGUCCAGAAUGGCAGUGAAUACUGGGAACACAAUUGGUGUCGUUCUCCUCCUGGUCGUGAUGGUAGCGGCGGUAUCAACACCAGUGGCAACUACCGAAGAGUUCUGUUGGGACAAAUGUAUCAAGCGCUGCAAGGGAGAACUAGAGGUUUGCAGCCCAAAGUGCAUUCAUUUUUGCAACUAUCAAUCCGGAGCCAUAGGAUAUGUUAAGUGGGCUGCCGAUAAACUGAAGGAGGCCGCUGCUGCCCCGCCCGAAAAGGCCGUCCUCCUCAAGAAUGAAGCUCAAACGUACUUAGAACGUGCCAAUGCUCUCAACGAGAAAGCUGGGACACCAUGAGUGUGCACCCUUCCGUCUAUAGGUGUCGCUGUUGUUAUGGUGUCUAAAAAUGUUUUGUUUAUUUAAAUUGUCGUGGUUGCAUCCCAUUUUUUGUUUCUUUGUUAAAGUAAUAUCUUUUGUAUUAUGAUGACAUGCUUCUUCCAGCGACUCAGUUUCUCUUGUUGACUUUACUUAUGUAUAUUGAUUUUCAUUUGAUUUGGCUAUGUAAUAAUGAAGUUCCUUCGUAUGGAAAUGUUCCUUUUAAUGCCCACAGUGCAUAUUCUCCUAUUUUAUCUCCAUGCAAUAAGGAUUGGGAUCUUUAGGAUGUGUAAAACAAUCCGUCUACAUUCAAGACCAAUAAGGCAUGCAUAUUCUAGAGAAACAUCCAUGUAAGUGCUUGUGCAUUUUUUAGAAAAUGUUCAUAUAUAUGUAAAAGACUAACCUUGAAAUUCACAUGUUUUCUUAAAAAAUCAUGUAAGUGUUUUGCGCAUUCUAAAAGAAGAAAUGGAAAACACCAGGAAACCACAUAAAUUAGACGUUUUUCCUAGGAAAUAUAUGCCGGAAAAGCCAACCAUCCGAAAUAACGAUGGGCAAAAAAAUAUAAAAAAUUGGCCAUCUAUAAUUUCCCACAGCCACUGAGGCAAUCGAACUUAGUCUUGUGAUUGUGAAAUUAUCGAUACAACUUUGUUGAUUAUUUGUUUGUUCCUCUUCAAGAAAAUCAUGUAUUAGAAACAUUUUUAUGUCAUCCAUCCCUAUCCUCUCAUCUCUCUAGUACAAGACAAGGCUCCUAAUUAAGGUGUAGGACUCCUUAGGGCUCCUCGUCCGUCCUUCACACCAUGUAUCAUGUAAACGUACGACCGUCAUCGGGUGUUAACGUUGCUUUACCAUCCUUGGAGUACAUAAGGUAAAACACUGUACUUCACCUUCUGGUCUAGGUGAUAAGGAGUUUGCAUGGAAGAAUAAGGCCUGACACCUACACUCGGAACCUACGGUUUCCUUGGCCACCGUCUCCUUGGGCUUGGUGAGGCCAUGGCCAUGCCGAUACCGCUAGUGUAGAUAAGUCAUAAAUCCAAGUCCAAGUCACGAGGGUGCCAACAAGACAUCAGCCACAUCCUCAGCAUCUACUUUUGCAUCGUCGAUGCCCCGGACACCAUGUAUACGGGUCACCUAAUCUCAAUCUCGUGUGCUUAAUAAGUAAGUAAUUACUAAGAUAGUUUCCAGGAACCUUGAAUUUUUUUACAAUUGCAAAAGUAAAAAUUGUAUUUUUUCAGCGACAUUAUCCAUCUAGAAAGGCAUCGCCAAACCACUAGCUCUAGCAAUAUAGCUAAGUCCUUCUUUUUUAAUGCACUUCUUAGGAACUCCCCACAGUUUUCUAAAAUUGGCAUUGUUGUUUUUCCCUUUUUUUUCUUACAAACCUGAUGAAAAGGUAGGGGCAUAUGCAUGUCAUGUUGUAAGUCAUGCAUGUUGAUCAGGUUACACGGUAGCCAUUCCUCCUUGUUUUUACACAAGCACAUAUUGGUGACAAGUGAUUGGCUAGAAAGAUUUAUUUUCCAUGGUGCAAGUAAAUGUUCCGGCUAAAAUUCUACUCCCUCCGUCCCUAAAUAUAAGACCUUUUAGAGGUUCCACUAUGUAGUCAUAUUUUAAAAUAUAGAUUCAUACAUUUUUCUCCGUAUCUAGUCUAUAGUGAAAUCUCUAAAAGGUCUUAUAUUUAGGAACGGAGGGAGCAAUGAUCUAUUUAUGACACAGCCAUACAUCAUGGACGACCAUCAGUAUUUUCCUUUUGAAAAUCAUCUGAAUACAAGUAGUGAUUGUUUGAUUGUAUCUUGCAUGCAUGUGUUGCAAAACGGCAUGACUUGGAUUAUACAUGCACAAUUCAAUGGGACAAUAAAGAGGCCAACAAAAUAUCUAGUAGUAAUAUAUGUUUUUGAAUAGCAUGGCAUACGAUGGGCUAUAGGGGAAUGAUCAUAAUACGUAUGUACGGGGGGAGGAUUCCUCUCUAAUACCAGUAGCUUGAAAAAUUUGUAUCACUGUCAAAUCAAUAGGUCUCUUGUGCUUUGUGGUGUAACUUGUGGCUGAAGUUCAGUGAGCCAAAUGAACUUACAACACUGUCUCAUGUUAGUGAACCUUCUCUGCACGAAACAAUAUGAUAGUAUAUAGCUAUAUGCUUCAAGUGUUUUGAUUUUUAUAUUACCGCAACUCCGACCUAUUGGGUCAUUUUCUGCAGCCAACAAUAUGCUUCUUUAAUCUCUGUUACCAGGCACUAUAAUAGUGCAUGCCUAUACCCGAAACGUUUUCUAUGGGCAUAAGCAAAAUGUAUCGUAUAAUUAACUUAUUUCCUCUUAGAGGUGUUACCCAAGGGAUUUUGUAUAAAAUUUGAUCUAAUUAUUCAAAUGUUUCCUAAUCCUAAUCAAAAAUCAUCAAUUUCAAACAAUUCAUCCAAAACUUUGAAGAAUUGUUUUUCUUUAGGCCGCAGUGCCACCGCCCCCUAGUUCUCACCACGACUUAACCAAAUCGCAUGUUGCCGCUACGUCUUCCCUUUGGGUCGUAGUGGCGUGAGGCAGGCUCCCCACGACACACAAGCCACCGCUACAAUGCCCCUCCGGGAUGUAGUGCUGCGACACACGGUUCUCGCUGCCACCCGAGGUCUUUCUGCCGUCGCACCGACCUGCUCGCCGCCCCGAGGUCUUCCCCCCGUCACCCCAACCCGCGCGUUGUCACCUCGGGAUGUAGUUCCCGAUGCGCGGUCCACUCCGCAGUGCCCUGCUCGUUGACUUCAUGUGGUAUGCACCUGUCAGAUUUCGGGCUCCGCAAUACCGUAAGGAUUCGAACAUUGGGGCGUGCAUGAAGAUCUCUCCCUGCUUAGCCUCGCCUAACCCACUACUCGAUGGAAACAAUGAGGGACUCACUUGAUGGCGACGGUUGCAUAGAACACAAUAGCUUACGGUAGCACAUAACACAACAGUUUACCCAGUUUCGGGCACCUGCGAAGCGUAAAACCCCACUCCUGCUUUUGGUGGAUUGCCUCUCGUGGAGGUGGUGGAUGAAUUGGUACAGUGCUCUCGAUCCUCCGGAGGCCAAGUGGCUAGGUGUAUUGCCCUACGGUUCGAAUGAACUCUCCCCUACCAAGUGUUCUACCCACUCAAUUUAUAGCGGAGGCCCGGGUCCUCUACUCUCGUAGCUUCGACGGGAAGGGAUCCCACUGUCGCCAAUUUUGAAGGGGAACACGGGAACAUGCUCCCCUUCCCAAAGGUGGUCAUCGCCUGCAAAGUAACUGUCCGUGCUGCAGGGACUGUCCCGAGGAUGACGUUUGCCCUACUGGCAUGCGGCAACGGCUUCGUUGCACCAUAAGGGAAACCUUUGGAAGAUGCCUUUGGAAUGCUUGUACGCUUCCGCCUCCUUCCGCUUCUGCUGAUUGCCUGUCCUUUCCUGGCGUCACCCUUGACUCCUGAGGCCCGACCUUGCCUCGGAAUAUCCGCCACUCCGGAGGGGUCCUGAGGAGGCCCUUGCGGUUCUUGACGCUGCUCCUCCUCGUCAGGUUUGGCCCCUCACGAGGGCGAUACCCUGAAUGGUGCCGAGCCCGUUGGUUUAUUCCAAUGAGGUGGGCCCGCCUUGGGCAACACGCAUGCACGUCUGGGUACCCCCAUUCCCAGAACGCCGACAGUAACCCCUGGGCCCGCGGAGUGCUCGGGUUGGCUUCGGGGCGGAGCCUAGGGGGGCAUCAUGAGGCGCCCUUGGCCCUGAAAUGCCUCUAGGCCAGGCCUGCACAUGUCACGCGGCUGGUGUCGGGUCCUCCGUGUUCUCUGUCUCUGCCCCCUUAUUAGGUGCCUUGCUUGUACCUUCGGUGCCUCAUUGCUUUCCUUCUUCCGUACUCGCCCUUCCUCUUUGGUCUCUGACUCCAACUGGCACCUCCCAGAUCCAGCGCCGCGUAGUUCCUUGCCAGUUCAACAAUGGCGCCCGCCAGCAAGCAAAAAACCAAAGGGGCAUGGUCCGGCCCUGACUUCUCUGCUCCUGGACUGCACCCUCUUACAGGACACCAAUCUCGUCCUCGUGCUUCCAUGGACCACGACCGAGUCCAACGAGCAUGGGCGAACCGUGAUAUGGCCUGGCGCCAUAGAGGAGCGACUCGCGUCUCGGGCAAUAUACCCCUUCUUCCUUCACGGUAUUUACGUUGGGCUGGUGCCGCUUUUCUCCCAGUUCUAAACCGUUGUCUUGGACCACUAUGGGAUCCAAGCCCUUCAUCUCCAGCCCAACUCCAUCUUGCUUCUAUAUGUCUUUGCUUUCAACUGUGAGGCUUUUGUGGGUGUGCAGCCUUCGGUUGCCCUCCUCCGCCACUUCUGCAGCUUGCGCCUGCACGACGGCGCUCAUUUGUCGGCGUGUGUCUCCUUCAUGGCAGCCUAGAGUGGCAACGUGCUCUUGAAGGUCGGGAAGAAGGUGGGUAACUUCACGCACCACUAGGUCCUUAUGUGCCUUAACGAUGCCAACCCUCGGUUGGAGGAGCCGAAGGAGUUGCUGGAGAAGACCUACGUGUGGAGCUCGGCGAAGUUCUCCGUCCCUCGGGUUGUGCCCGUGCUGGAGCGCUUUUCCCGCAACAUCAGCGCCAAGAGGAUGACCGGAAAAAUGAUAGUGAAGGAGUUCCUGGCGCAACGCCUGGCGCCUCUCCACGCACACUCCAAGCCCCUGUGGGAGUAUCGGGCUGGCGACGACGAGCUCCGGCUCCGGACCCGGAACCUCCCCAUACAAGACCUGAGCAGGGUCAUGGCGAUCUUGCUGGGCGUCGACCCUGGCGACCUUCCCGAGGCCCUAGGUCCAUUAUACCAUCGUGACGACCGGGCUGACCUGGUAGCUGCGAUGCCUGUCUUCAACGAGUGGGGGCCUCCUCGCACAUGGACAGUGCCUGCAGGGGGCCCGCAUCGACCCUGCUUGCAAUGCAGUCCGCGUGCGUGCUUGCUUCCCGGAGGCUCAGGGCUGAGCUAUUCUCGGUGCAUCCCACCUCUAUCGGCGAGGGGGGGUACCAUGCCGCCGAGCUCGCCUCCCUCCGUGGGGGGCCUGUCACCUGUGCUGUUGCGAAUGCAAAGAGGAAGAAGAUAUGGUGCGAUGUUGAAUUGUAAGCUACUUGCCUGGGCACGCCCUGCGCGUCUAUUGUCCGUGCUUGGCUGAUCCCCCCUUUACUUGUCUUCCAUGGAUGUUGUCUCGCCGGUGGCGAAGAGGAACAAGACGGUCGUCAAGCCGAAGGCGACUCCCGACGCCCCGCCUACUCUCAUUGGUGCACUACCAUCUGCAGGUGGGGAAGGGGAUGAUCGUGGGGCCGUCUCCCUGGCCUUGGUUGUCGAGCCCCCAAAGCAUGCAGAAGUGACCGUGGGGACGCCGUUGCAUGAGGGGCAGGCCGACGAGGGCCCUCAAGCUCGUCAAGCGUCAUUGCUCGCGAUCGCUGAGCAGUCUUCGGGGCCCCCGUGUUCUUCACAGCACUACGCCUCUGGCGACACCACCCGCGCGUGCGCUGGAGGAUCUGCAGGAGGAGGUCCAGAAGACCUCGGUGUUCACCCAAGGUAUCUUGAACGCGACAUUCACCGCCUUGAGCAAUAUCGCCGACGAGAUGGGGAAGGCCGAGAGGGAGGCCGAGGCCGCGAGUGCCUUGCAUGAGAAAGCACUAAAGGAGGCUAAGGCGGCUGUCGAACGCUGUGAAGAGGUGGAAACCCGCCUCAACUUCCUUGAAGGAGGACUAACCAAGCUGGCCGAGCAGCGUCGCCUGUAGGGGGAGGAGCUUAAAUCCCGCAAGACCAUGCUCGCCGCCCGGGAGGAAGAGAUGUCCCAGGAGGAGAGCAGCCUGAGCAUGAAGUAGGCGCGCUUGGAAGAGCAGGAGAACGAGGCCGCCUCAAGGAAGGCCCUCCUUGACGCCCACGAGAAAGCUCUCGCCCCGGCUGAGGAGGGGAAAACCACCAAGCUGGCCUCCUUCCCUGACGUUGAGCUCAGGCUUCGCACGGCGCUCCGCUCCCUCUGCCGGGACGAGUUCGAUGAACCUCUGGCCACCCCAGAGGAUGUCUUUGCCACGCUCGUGAAGGGGCUCGUAACGGCGCUGGAGAUUGCCGUCGUGCAGGUGGACAAGAUCUUGGACAUCGAGUGCCGCGACCUCUUCUUCGUGGCUCCGACUCGGGUCUUUAGCCACCUUCAUCUUCGCGACGCCGAAUUUGAUCUAAGCUUCGUGAUCGUGCGGAGGGGGUGAAGGGCCCUGUGGAGGCGUUGGUGAGGAGGUUCGCUCGCGUCGCAGCUCCUUCGUCUCCACGUGUCGUUGGAGCCGAUGAUGGGGAAGACGAUGCCUCUGACGUCGACGACUAGCCCCCCGUGGAGGGGGCGACCGACGGCGGCUCCUCUUGAUUUCUUGUCCCUGUUACUUUCCUGCAAUGCACAUCAUGCCUCGCGGAGGCGUUGAACUUAUUUGCGUUUUUAUGAACUUGGUCACGGUUUGUAAUAAUUGAAUGCUUGAAUGUUUUCCUCGCCUUGUGUCACACCCUAUUUUUACUACCACUUCUUUGUAAUGCAAAAUCUGAGCUUGUUAAAACUUUUUCAAAACUAAUGAUCUGAGUGCCAUGAUUGUAAUUGUAUGCUUGUGUGUUUGAUCAUGUGAUGAAAAUCCCCAUUUCACAAUACUGAUUUAUUUCCAAAAACCUUUACAUGUCUCUGAUUAAGGUAAAACCCUACUUUGAGUUGCACUACAUGCCCUUGAUGGUAAGAAGUGUUUCUACCCAAAGUUGGUGAUCUGAUUUUAACUUCAUUUUAGUGCCUUAAAACUACAAAAUAAUUAUUUUUAGAAUUAGUUUCCUAAUUAAAUUGCAUGUCCAUUUCUGAGGCCAGAAUUGGUAUUCCUACAUGGAAAAAUACUUUUCUGCCUUAAAAAAAUCUGAUUAAAUUUGCAGAUGAUUAGAAGGACAUAUAUAUUACAUACAUAAGAUUUUAAACCUUAUUUUAUAUUAUAAUUAUUUGAAUAAAAACCUGGAAGCCAUUUCUGGUUGUUUUGACCUUUUGAAUUAUUUCCAAAGGAAAUAUUCUCAAUAAACUCCUAGAAAAUUCCAGUAGUAUCCCUAAGCCAUAUUUGGUGUCCACAUAAAGUUUCCCCUUGGUCCAAGGUGACUAAGGACCCCAAAUAACCCCAAAACACCUUUUGUCCAGAUUGAAGUUAGAGCAACUCUACAUUGCAAAGUUUAUCCAAUGAAGCUGAAAUUUUGCAGGAGUGCCUAAUACCUCAAAUGAGGGUUCCACACGAAAAAUGGGAUUUUUGGGAUUUAGUUUGCCCACACUGUCUUUGGAAGGGACAUAUCUGGUCAAAUUGAACUGUUUUCAAGUCUACAAAGCUAAACUUGUCCAAUGGAGUUCAAACUUGGUGAAACCCCAUGUUUUAGCACCAAACCCAAACUUGUUAAGUUGCAGCACCAGUGGUGGGGUGUAACCCCCUCAAACCACUGUCGAGCACCUUCUGACAGAUAGGGAAAAGUCACCUUAGCCACAGCCAAACCCGACCCCUUUGCUCCAAACUCAAAUAUUAGGUGGCCAGUAUCCAUAUCUAACCCCAGUCAACUAGCCCCUCACUGGUUCAAAGUGGAAAGGCCAAAAACUCCAAUUUAGGCUCCACCUCAAGGCUGACUGCACUAGCAUUUCUUGUCUCCUUUGACAAGCCAAAGCUCCCACGAGACCCAAACGGCUAGCCACACUCCCAGCUAGUGCCAGGACAUGCUAGACACGUCCAAAGUGCCUCAGAGCGCACCAGCAUGCCGUGGCAUGCCAAAACUAUGCUCUGAGCGCGCUACAGUCAGCCACCAAGGUGGAGGCGACGCUCUCGGCCAGUUCCAGCCUCCCCCGAGGUGUCCAACCUCUUCCCAGACAACCCCUUUGCAUCGAGCAACCCUCAAGGCCCCUCCUCCCCCGCAUUAGAGCUCGUGAUACGCGUGCCCGCGGCACCAGAACCGGCCAAGGUUGCGUGGCCACGGAUGCUCGACUCCUCCCUCUCUCCCUCUGCAGUAGAUGGUUCUGGAAGUCCAAAACCAUGUCCUUAGACCCUGGUUUCAACCCCAGCCCCUCUCUGCACCCCCAUGCACACCACGGUGAGUCACCGAUGCUCCCGAAUCAGCUCACCUUCGUGGGCCUAUAAUUAGCCAUCCCCCUCACUCCUGCACCCCUCAGAUAGCUUCACCAUGACCAAUAGCACCUCCUUAGCCACCCCAGCAACGAGCAGAGCCCCGGUGCUCGAGAUCGACCGAAGCCCCUCCGCCUCGGAGCUCCGAUUGAUCUCCAGCAACACGACGACUCCUGCGCCCCUCGACCCACCAAACUGAUCCCCUCAACCCCAGGAAGCUUUCCCCCAACUCGCCCGACCAUUUCCGUGUUUCUAGACACCUCCUCGACCACCUCCCGAAACUCCUCCUUCACGGCCUCCUCGUCGCCGGUGAACCCCUGCCUCUCCAACGUUGUUCCGACAACCAGUAGGUAGGAAACGUCAUGGUAAACCCAUUCCAGUCCUUGUUGGGGCCUGAGAGCAUCCGCAGCCUCGCCGACAUGCUCAUCCUCCUCUCUGCCAGAGGUAGGAGACGACCCCGACAGGUGUGCCCCACCUAUCGAUGGCCCAACCUCCUCCCCAGCGCUGUCCACAGCCACUAACCGCAGGGCCCCGCACGUCAGGUUCCAACCUGACGGCGCGUGCGCCUGGGCACGCUGUCGGCUGGCCUUGGGCCAGUCCAACACCAUGCGCUGGUUCUAACCUAUGUGAGCUAUUUCUUAUUUAUUGUUUUAUCGACGAUAGAAAAUCCGUGUGACUCGGGAAUCGGAGCGGAAGACCUCGAAGACCCCGGAUACCUAGCUGACCAAGGCAAGCAACCCUUUGACCAUGACUGAGCAUAUGUUACUUUGCAUGUUUAGAUAGCAAGUAUUUCCGUUGAAUAUGAUCAUAAGUGCCGGUAAUCAUUUGAUAUGAUUUUAACGAUGGCUCCCCCGGAGCACAUGCAUUGAGCUUGAUCCUACCCCUUGAGGGUCAUGCUAAUAUCAUAUUGACAAGUAAAGUUAGAAGUAGUAUUAUCAUGAGCAUGUUGAUGACAUAAACGAAAGAGUUUAUGAAAACCCCGUCGGGUGCCACUAAUGCCCGAGGGUGAUGAUGAGUUAGGUGUCCACUUUUGGUGAAGUGGUGCACCGGGUACUUUGAGUGAGUAUGGUUUCGGAAAUGGGAUUAGAUUUAUGAUGUGUCGACCGUCCCAACCUUACCAGUACGACCAUGUUACCCCUUAUGGGACGGGGCUAUGUUAAUUACUCUAGUCGUUGCUAGCAAAGAGACACAUUACUAGUGGCAGGAGUGAUGUGUGGUGACUCUCGUGAUGGGGUCAUGCCAGGUAGGACGACUAUGCCAUUUUUAUGAGUUCUAGUCACACCAUUAGUCCCCACAUGGUUGGUACUGUCCAGAGUCGGUGCUCGUAAGACAGAGAACAUGUGGGCUGGGUACCAAUCGAGUGGACCUCUUUGUCUAAUAUCGUCAGGGGAAAGGCAUUGAUCGGGUACUUACGUCAGGUAUGUUAUAUACCGCGAGUCGUGGAUGACACGGAAGUUUCCCGGAUCUCGUGGGUCCAGCGUACUACCUCUGCAGAGUGUAAAACUAUUCGAAUAGCCGUGUCCAUGGUCAAGGACAGUUGGGUAAUCCUGCUUAAACUACGUCCAGCUGUUUCCGCAUAAACCAAGUGUGUGUGUUGUGUUAAAAACGUGUUGUUAUGAAAGUAAUGAUAUGACCAAGUUUGGUGACUUGGCAUAUAGGGUGAGCACGGAUGGCUCGUCCCUCGACUGAUAUAUUGAUAUUUGCAACCUAUUCUUCAAAAGUAAUUCUUUAACUUGAUGCAUAUUCAUGAUCAUUCCACCCCGAUGAAAUCCACCAAAGAUGCAUGAUAUUGUUAUCCUUCACUUUCAUUGUUCGUAACAUGGGCUGUUUGCGAGUACAUUCAACGUACUCAUUGGCUUGCCACUGGUUAUGUUAUUGUCCAGACAUGGUACGUCUUCGGAGAUGCCCCUACGACCUAGGAUGCUUCGGAGUCAGAAUGCCUGUCGGUGUAGGCUUGAUGGCAUGGGCACCCGCUUAGCCCCUAUGAUUUCUGCUACUAGUUGUAUCAUAAUGAUUUGGACUUAGGCCCUGCCUUGUGAACUUGACCAUUCGGUCAUGUGUUGUAAUAAUCGAUACUUGGAUGGAAGACUCUUUUAUUUGGUAUCUCUGUUCGAUGAGCAUUGAUCUUUGGGAUAACUGAGCACGGCGAUCUUGACCCGUAAGUCGGGGUCCCCACAGAGCUGGUAUCAGAGCCAUCCUGACUAUAGGGAGCCUUAGGUAGCAUGGACGAAAGCCGAGAUGACUAGUGCACAUAGACCUUAACGUGAGAUUCUGCACCCACUGAAAACUUUCUAACUCUCUCCUCUACAUCUUGUAGAUGGCCGCCGUACCUGAGAUGCUUCUGGAGACAGGCUUUCCUCUUCUUUUGAGUGAUAGCCUCGAGAAGUGUCAAGCACGCCGCACGCCCAUCUUCCUCUACCACGAGAACUGGGUCAACGCCGACACUAACGAAUAUCACGUGGACGUGAUAGUGAAGGCUAAUGACUCCCCGACUAGUUGGUUCUUUGAAGGUCCACAGAUGGAAGAUCUAAUGUUGGCAGUGGAGACCGCAGCACGAGAGGGGCUCGUGCGACUCCGCGACAUCCUUCCCGAGAUGGCUGUUGAGCCAUCUACUCGUCACCUAACUUUUGUUAAGGAUGGGGUAGACGGGAGUUGGACACUCAACCCAUCUUCCAAGGACGGGAUGCCACUGAGGUUUCAGACCUACUUUAGUCUCUCCUCCGACACUUUGACACACCUUUUGAUCAAGGAGUCAACUAGGAUCUGCCAAGAGCGGCACCAAGUAAAGGAUCUGCUUCACACGGAGAAGAUGAAGAACCGCAUGGUGAAGAAGGAAGGAGCACCCAAAGGACCACCAGGUUUUGCUUUCCGAGGAGGAAUACCACCGCUUCAGGCCACUCCUCUACAGAGUCAUCACUUGACUGUGGAAGAGUACACCGAACUCUUCGCUACCUCGCCAACCAAGAGACACCGUGAUGGUGCGCUUCCUUCUACUACUCCUUCAAAGAAGGGAAUCACUCAUGAAGAUGAAGAUGAAGAUGAAGGUGAAGACGAAGAUCUCGCAAAACCCGCUCAUGACACCGCGCAGUCGGCCGCUUAGCUUUAGCAGCAUAGGCAAUUAGGAUGUACCCCCGAGCGUAUGAGUUCCUGUAUCGGUUUGUAUGAACCAUGAGUAUUGUGUAAGCCUGUUGGAUGCAAGUCGCAUUCUGGCUUAGGCAGCUUGUGAGCGAGUACAUCGCUUGUUUUUAAUAUAAUGUAGUAGCUCUUUUCAAAACCAUUGGCUUAAUUUUUUUACACUAGCACAACACCAGACCCCCUCUUUACUAGAGCAUCAUCCCUUAUGAUUUCAGCCAGUUUGGCAAAUUGACCUCUCUACUCCCAAGACAGGAUGGUGAAUGCAACUCGCAACAGCACCUUCGGCAACCCCGGCUCUAACUCUUCAGGUCAGCAGCAGGGAACCGUAGGGGAAGCUCAAGCUGGAGAUCACCACGAGCAGCAAGACGAUGUUCCGGGGCCUCCUCCUAAAAGCUUGACCAUGGAUCAAUCCCUUCAAGCUCUUCGAGAGGAGCGUCAAGCCAACAAUUCCGCUAUUCAGCAGCUGGCUCAAACCUUGGUGAACAACCCACCGCAGAACGGGAAUGGCAAUGGUCUCUCAACUCCCUAUGAGUUCAUGCGAACUACGCCACCCAUAUUCACGGAGACGACUGAACCAUUGGAUGCCGAUGACUUGAUCUGUACUAUCGAAGACCUCCUCGCGCUGGUCAAGUGCACUGAUGAUCGUGAGAAAGUUCUCUAUGCUUCUCACUGUCUCGGAGGCACAGCCAGAGCUUGGUGGGAUGGAUUUCAGAUCAUGCGAGCAGGGCAAGUAAUCACUUGGGCUGUGUUCAAAGAUGGAUUCUGCGCUGCUCACAUUCCUCCUGGAAUGAUGACCAUUAAGAAGCGGGAAUUUCGAGCCUUAAGGCAAGGCACUGGAUCCGUCAAGGAAUAUUUGCAGAAGUGCAACCUCCUGUAAAGAUUCGCGCCUGAGGACGUCAACACUGAAGCCGCCAAAGUGGAACGCUUUAUGGAACGACUAAAACAGCACUCCACUAUCAGCUGGUUGUUUGCGAAUGCCGGACCUUCAGCAAUCUGGUUAAUAAGGCCCUUAUGUUGGAAGACAAGCGUCGUGCCAUGGACGACACCCGUAAUCACAAGCUAAUGGGUAGUGGAGGACCAGGUAACACGAAGCCACGAACAUGGCAGCCAGCUCCAGCAAGACCCAACUAUCAGCAGCAGUACAAGUAUCCAACAUUUUGCCAGAACUACCAGCCUCAGCAGCAAGUCAACACCAAGCGAGCAAGCAAUCCGUCGAACAACAGUGGAAUCAAGACCAAUCUUCCAGUGCAAGUUACCUGUUUCGGAUGUGGACAAACAUGGCACUAUUCCAGGCAGUGCCCCAACAAGAAACCCGAUGCUCAGCGCCCCAAUGCGCAAAAUCCAGGCCAAGGAGCACCAGACAGGAAUCACGCUCCCCGCAAUCAGCAGUAUCACAUCAAGCGGUGGAUUAAUCAUAUUUCCGCGGAAGAGGCACAAGAAGACCCGGACUGCAUUCUGGGUACGUUCCUCGUCAACUCUACCCCAGCAACAGUGUUGUUUGAUUGUGGUGCUUUACAUUCUUUUGUUACGCAAAAGUUUGCGGAAAAAUGUGGUAUAGAACCUACCUUUCUUCAUGGGCAUAUGGCAAUUCAAACCCCCGGAGCAGUUUUGAGGACCAAUCUAGGGUGUAGGAAGAUCGGGAUAGUUAUCAAUGGGACGAGCUUCUCAGCUGAUCUCAUUGUGCUUAAGUCGCAAGGCCUAGAAGUAAUUCUCGGCAUGGAUUGGUUGGUCAAGCAUCAUAGUAUCUUGGACUGUGCUAACUGGGCCAUUACCAUGACAAGUGACCAAGUUGUCAAAGUCAAGUAUGUCUCUGAGCCAGUACCCGCUCAAGUACCACGGGUUAACAGCCUGUCAGAGGAAGAACUCGAUCGAGUGCCAAUAGUGUGUGAAUAAUCAGACAUCUUUCCUGAUGAGCUACCAGGGAUGCCUCCUGACUGAGACAUCGACUUCAUCAAUGAACUCAUGCCCGGAUCAAGGCCUAUUUAUAAGAAGCCUUACAGGAUGGGAUCCGAAGAGCUAGCGAAGUUGAAGAAGCAACUGGAUGAGCAACUCAGGAAAGGAUUUAUUCGUCCAAGUGCGUGACCUUGGGGAUCACCUGUUCUUUUCGUGUCGAAGAAGGAUGGGACUAUCCGACUCUGCGUCGAUUACCGUUCUCUCAAUGAGGUCACAAUUAAGAACAAGUUCCCACUCCCCAACAUUGAAUACUUAUUCAAUCAGCUAAAUGGAGCUAAGGUAUUCUCCGAGAUCGACCUCCGAUCUGGAUAUUACCAACUGAAGAUCCGACCUGAGGACAUACCCAAGACUGCGUUCAUGACCCGGAACGGUCUGUAUGAAUGCACUGUCAUGUGUUUUGGGUUGACUAAUGCCACAACUUACUUCGUGUACCUCAUGAAUAAGGUCUUCAUGGAAUACGUGGACAAGUUUGUCGUCGUAUUCAUUGAUGACAUAUUAAUCUUUUCCAUGUCCGAAGAAGAGCAUGAGAAACACUUAAGGUUAGUAUUCGUGAAGCUUCGAGAGCACCAACUUUUUGCUAAGUUCAGCAAAUGCCAAUUUUGGUUGAACGAAGUUGGAUUCUUGGGCCAUACCAUGACAUCAAGUGGAUUGGCAGUUGAUCCCUCCAAGAUUACUACGGUAACCAACUGUGAAUCGCCAAUUGCUGUGAAGGAAGUCAGGAGCUUCCUCGGACUCGUGGGAUAUUACCGCAAGUUCGUAGAAGGAUUCUCCCGCAUCGCUCGACCCAUGACUCAGCUCUUGAAGAAAGUCAAGACGUUCGAAUGGACGCUAGAGUGUGAAUCCAGCUUCCAAGAAUAGAAGAAGAGAUUAACCACCGCCCCGGUAUUGGCCACUCCAGAUAUCAGCAAGGAGUUUGUGAUAUAUUGUGAUGCCUCGAGGACCGGACUCAGUGGGGUUCUAAUGCAGGAUGGCAGACUCGUGUUGUAUCUGUCACGACAACUGCGCCCGCAUGAGGAGAACUAUGCCACCCAUGAUCUCGAGUUGGCAGUUGGAGUGCAUACCCUGAAAACAUGGCGACAUUACCUUCUGGGGAAGCGAUGUGAAAUAUACACUGACCACAAAAGUCUGAAGUAUAUCUUCACUCAAAGGGAAUUGAAUAUGAGGCAACGAAGAUGGUUGGAGUUAAUCAAAGACUACAACCUCAGCAUUCAAUAUCACCCCGGUAAGGCCAAUGUAGUGGCCAAUGCCUUAAGCCGAAAGACCAACACCUUGAACGUCAUGCUAAAGGAAAGGCAACCCGCCUUAUAUGAAGAAUUAGAGAACUUCGGGUUGGAAUUAGUAGAAUCAAGAUUCCUAGAUAACCUCGAAGUCAAACCAACGCUGGUGGAUGACAUCAAGGAGGCCCAGAAGGGUCAUAAGAGAAUUGAAGGCAUCAGGAAGAAGAUUCAAGAAGGCAAGGCCCCAGGAUUCUCGGUGGAUGAACAAGGAGUAGUGUGGUUUGGGCAACGUUUAUGUGUACCCAACAAGGCUAAACUCAAGGAUUUGAUCCUAUAGGAAGCACAUGAUACACCCUACUCUAUUCACCCUGGUGGUACCAAGAUGUAUCAUGAUCUCCGAGAAAGAUUCUGGUGGCAUGGCAUGAAGAGGGAAAUAGCGUCCUAUGUUUCCAAGUGCGACGUGUGCCAACAAGUCAAGGCUGAGCAUCAGCGACCUGCAGGACUGCUACAACCUCUCAAAGUGCCAGAAUGGAAGUGGGACAAUAUAGGCAUGGACUUUGUUACCGGCUUACCAAGGUCUAGGAGAGGCCAUGACUCUAUAUGGGUUACUGUCGACCAUUUGACCAAAGUGGCCCAUUUCAUUCCUGUCAACACCACAUAUGAUGGGAACAAGUUGGCUAGUCUCUAUAUUGAGUGUAUUGUAAGCCUUCAUGGAGUUCCCAAGGAGAUUGUAUCUGACCGAGGCACACAGUUCACCUCAAGAUUUUGGAAAAAGUUCCAAGAAGCCAUCAGAACCAAGCUCUCUUUGAGCACCGCUUUCCACCCACAAACGGGUGGACAAACGGAAAGAGUGAAUCAGAUACUCGAAGGUAUGCUCCACGCAUGAGUCUUGGCGCAUGGAGCCAAAUGGGAAGAGUGUCUUCCGUUCGCUGAGUUUUCAUACAACAACGGCUACCAGUCCAGUCUCCAAAUGGCCCCGUUCGAAGUGUUGUACAGACCAAAGUGCCGCACACCGCUCAAUUGGUCCGAAACCGGAGGAGGACUGAUUUUCGGGCCGGAAGUUUUGCAUAAGGCAGAAGAGAAGGUGCAACUGGUCUGAGAGAAUCUAAAAGCAACCAAGUCACGACAAAAUAGUUAUGUGGAUUCUCGCCGCAGGGAUGUGGAGUUCAUUCCCCGAGACCUAGUGUACCUCCGUGUCACACCUCUCAAGGGAACAAGUGUUUCCACGGGGGGGGGGGGGGGGGCUCCAAGGUUCAUUGGACCUUUUAAGAUCACGACAAGGCGUGGAGAAGUUGCUUAUCAGUUGGAGCUACCUCCGGAACUUUUGGGUGUAAACAACAUCUUCCACGUGUCACAACUUCGGAAGUGUCUUCAAGCGCCAAAUCGUCCUGAUCUUUAGAAGGACAUUGAACACCAGGCCAUUGACCUUCAGCCUGAUCUCACCUACCACGAGAAGUCGGUCCGCAUUUUGGAUGAAGUUGAGCGUUGCACCAGAAGCCGCACCAUCAAGUAUUUCAAGGUUCAGUGGAGCAACCACACCGAAGCCGAAGCAACAUGGGAGUGUGAAGACUAUCUCCGAUCUAAGUUUCUGGACAUUUUUAGCACCUAGCUUAGGAAUCUCGGGGGCGAGAUUCUUGUAAGGGGGAUAGGUCUGUCACACCCUGUUUUUACUACCACUUUUGCGUAAUGCAAAAAACUGAUCUUGUUAAAACUUUUUCAAAACUAAUGAUGUGAGGGCCAUGAUUCUCAUUGUAUGCUUGUGUGUUUUAUCAUGUGAUGAAAAACCCCAUUUCAGAAUAUCGAUUUAUUUCCAAAAACCUUUACAUGUUUCUGAUUAAGGUAAAACCCUACUUUGUGUUGCACUACAUGCCUUUGAUGGCAAGAGGUGUUUCUACCCAAAGUUGGUGAUCUGAUUUUAACUUCAUUUUACUGCCUUAAAACCACAAAAUAAUUAUUUUUAGAAUUAUUUUCCUAAUUAAAUUGCAUGUACAUUUGUGAGGCCAGAAUUGGUAUUCAUACUUCGAAUAAUACUUUUCUGCCUUAGAANUUUCUGCCUUAGUAAAAUCUUAUUAAAUUUGGAGAUGAUCACAUGGGCAUAUAUUUCCAUAUAUAUUAUAAUUAUUUGAAUAAAACCCUGGAAGCCAUUUCUAUCUAUUUUGACCUUUUGAAAUAUUUCCAAAGGAAAUAUUCUCAAUAAAAUCCUAGAAAAUUCCAGUAGUAUCCCUAAGCCAUAUUUGCUGUCCACAUAAAGUUUCACCUUGGUCCAGAUAACCCCAAAACCCCUUGUGUCUAGAUUGAAGUUAGAGCAACUCGACAUGGACAGGUUUAUCCAAUGAUGUUGAAACUUUGCAGCAGUGCCAAAUACCUCAAAUUAGGGUUCCACACCAAAACUGGGAUUUGUGGGACUUAGUUUGCCCACACUCUCUUUGGAAGGGACAGAUCUGGUCAAAUUGAAGUGUUUUCAAGUUUGCAAAGCUAAACUUGUCCAAAGGAGCUCAAAAUUGGUGAAACCCCGUGUUUUUGCACCAAACCCAAACCUGUUAAGUUGCAGCACGAGUGGUCAGGUGCAACCCCCUCAAACCACUAUCGAGCACCUUCUGACAAAUAGGGAAAAGCCACCUAAACCACAGCUAAACCCAACCCCUUUGCUCCAAACUCAUAGAUUAGGUGGCCAGUAUCCAUAUCUAACACUAGUCAACUAGCCCCUCACUGGUUCAAAGUGGAAAGGCCAAAAACUCCAAUUUAGGCUUCACCUCAAGGCUGACAGCACUAGCAUUUCUUGUCUCCAUUGACCAGCGGAAGCUCCCACGAGACCCAAAUGGCUAGCCAAACUCCCAGCCAGUGCCGGGACAUGCUAGACACAUCCAAAGUGCCUCAGAGCGCACCAGCAUGCUGUGGCAUGUCAAAACUGCGCUCUGGGCGCGCUACAGGAAGCCACCAAGGUGGGGGCGACGCUCUCGGCCAGUUCCAACCUCCCACGAGGUGCCCAACCUCUUCCCCGACAACCCCUCUCCGUCGAGCAACCCUCAGGGCUCCUCCUCCCCCGCAUUAGAGCUCAUGCGACGCGUGCCCGCACACACCAGAACCAGCCAAGGUUGCGCGACCACGGAUGCUCGACUCCUCCCUCUCUCCCUCUGAAGCAGAUGGUUGUGGCAGUCCAAAACCAUGUCCUUAGACCGUGGUUUCAACCCCAGCCCCUCUCUGUACCCCCAUGCGCGCCAUGGUGAGUCACCGGCGCUCCCGAAUUGGCUCACCGUCGCGGGCCUAUAAAUAUCCCCCCUCACUCCCGCACCCCUCAGAUAGCUUCACCACGACCACUAGCACCUCCCUAGCCACCCUAGCAAACUAGCACAACCCCGGUGCUCGAGAUGGAUCGAGGCCCCUCCGCCUUGGAGCUCCGGUCGAUCUCCGGCUACACGACGGCUCCUGCGCCCCUCGACCCACCAAACUGAUCCCCUCAACCCAAGGAAUCGUUCCCCCAACUCGCCCGAGCAUUUCUGUGUCUCUAACCACCUCCUCGACCACCUCCCAAAACUCCUCCGCCACGGCCUCCUCGUCCCUGGUGAACUCCUACCUCUGUAAUGUUGUUCCGACCACCAGUAGGUAGGCGACGUCAUGGCGAACCCAUUACAGUCCUUGUUGGGGCCUGAGACCGUCGGCAGCCUCGCCGGCGUGCUCCUCUUCCUCUCUGGCCAAACGUAGGAGACGACCCCGAUAGGUGUGCCUCACCUCUCGGUGGCCCAGUGUCCUCCCCCACGCUGUCCACAGCCACUGACCAUAGGGCCCCGCACGUCAGGUUCAAACCUGACGGUGCGAGCACCUGGGCAGGCUGUCGGCUGGCCUGGGGCCAGCCCAGCUCCAGGACUAGCCAGGCCAGGGGCUUAGCCCAUUUUUCUUUAUUUUCAAAAAUCUGAUUUCAAAGAUUUUUAUAAAAAUAUUUAACGAGUGUAAAAAUAUAAUAUUUCAACUAUUAUUGUUCUAAAAAUAUGUAGUAUUUAAUAAUAUGAUUGGAUGAUUUUUUCUACAACAUUUCUGUUUUACAAUAAUAAAAAGGACUAAAUUGGAAUAGUUUUGCUUUUGUUUUGUUAAUUUUAAAAACGUUCCUUCAAGAGAAUUCGAGGCAAAUAUUUUUCAAAAUGACAACUUAGAUUUAUAAGUAAUAAAUAACAUUUUUUUAAAUGACUUUGUGAUCUGUUUCUAUAUGAGCUAUUUCUUAUUUAUUGUUUUAUCGAUGAUAGAAAAUCCAUGUGACGAGGGAAUCGGAGCGGAAGACCUCGAAGACCCUGGAUACCUAGCUGACCAAGGCAAGCAGCCCUUUGACCAUGACUGAGCAUAUGUUACUUUGCAUGUUAAGAUAGCAAGUAUUUGUUGGAAUUAUGCCCUAGAGGCAAUAAUAAAUGUAGUUAUUAUUAUAAUUCCUGUAUCAAGAUAAUAGUUUAUUAUCCAUGCUAUAAUUGUAUUGAAUGAAGACUCAUUUACAUGUGUGGAUACAUAGACGAAACACCGUCCCUAGCAUGCCUCUAGUUGGCUAGCCAGUUGAUCAAUGAUAGUCAGUGUCUUCUGAUUAUGAACAAGGUGUUGUUGCUUGAUAACUGGGUCACGUCAUUGGGAGAAUCACGUGAUGGACUAGACCCAAACUAAUAGAAGUAGCAUGUUGAUCGUGUCAUUUUGUUGCUACUGUUUUCUGCGUGUCAAGUAUUUAUUCCUAUGACCAUGAGAUCAUAUAACUCACUGACACCGGAGGAAUGCUUUGUGUGUAUCAAACGUUGCAACGUAACUGGGUGACUAUAAAGAUGCUCUACAGGUGUCUCCGAAGGUGUUAGUUGAGUUAGUAUGGAUCAAGACUGGGAUUUGUCACUCCGUGUGACGGAGAGGUAUCUCGGGGCCCACUCGGUAAUACAAGAUCACACACAAGCCUUGCAAGCAAUGUAACUUAGUGUAAGUUGCGGGAUCUUGUAUUACGGAACGAGUAAAGAGACUUACCGGUAAAUGAGAUUGAAAUAGGUAUGCGGAUACUGACGAUCGAAUCUCGGGCAAGUAACAUACCGAAGGACAAAGGGAAUGACAUACGGGAUUAUACGAAUCCUUGGCACUGAGGUUCAAACGAUAAGAUCUUCGUAGAAUAUGUAGGAUCCAAUAUGGGCAUCCAGGUCCCGCUAUUGGAUAUUGACCGAGGAGUCUCUCGGGUCAUGUCUACAUAGUUCUCGAACCCGCAGGGUCUGCACACUUAAGGUUCGACGUUGUUUUAUGCGUAUUUGAGUUAUAUGGUUGGUUACCGAAUGUUGUUCGGAGUCCCGGAUGAGAUCACGGACGUCACGAGGGUUUCCGGAAUGGUCCAGAAACGAAGAUUGAUAUAUAGGAUGACCUCAUUUGAUUACCGGAAGGUUUUCGGAGUUACCGGGAAUGUACCGGGAAUGACGAAUGGGUUCCGGGAGUUCACCGGGGGGGGGGGGGACCCACCCCGGGGAAGCCCAUAGGCAUUUAGGGAGCCACACCAGCCCUUAGUGGGCUGGUGGGACAGCCCACAAGUGCCCAUUGCGCCAAGAGAAGAAAAAUCAAGAGGAAAAAAAAAGGGAAGGAGGUGGGAAGGGAGGGGGACUCCUCCCACCAAACCAAGUCCAACUCGGUUUGGGGGGGGGGAGUCCUCCCCCCCUUGGCUCGGCCGACUCCUUGGGGGGUCCUUGGACCCCAAGGCAAGGCCCCCCUCCCUCCUCCUAUAUAUAUGGAUCUUUUAGGGCAGAUUUGAGACGACUUUCUCACGGCUGCCCGACCACAUACCUCCACGGUUUUUCCUCUAGAUCGCGUUUCUGCGGAGCUCGGGCGGAGCCCUGCUGAGACAAGGUCAUCACCAACCUCCGGAGCGCCGUCACGCUGCCGGAGAACUCUUCUACCUCUCCGUCUCUCUUGCUGGAUCAAGAAGGCCGAGAUCAUCGUCGAGCUGUACGUGUGCUGAACGCGGAGGUGCCGUCCGUUCGGUACUAGAUCGUGGGACUGAUCGCGGGAUUGUUCGCGGGGCGGAUCGAGGGACGUGAGGACGUUCCACUACAUCAACCGCGUUCUCUAACGCUUCUGCUGUACGAUCUACAAGGGUACGUAGAUCACUCAUCCCCUCUCGUAGAUGGACAUCACCAUGAUAGGUCUUCGUGCGCGUAGGAAAAAUUUUGUUUCCCAUGCGACGUUCCCCAACAGUAUUUCCGUUGCAUAUGAUCAUAAGUGCCGGUAAUCAUUUGAUAUGAUUUUACCGAUGGCUCCCCCGGAGCACAUGCAUUGAGCUUGAUCCUACCCCUUGAGGGUCAUGCUAAUGUCAUGUUGACAAGUAAAGUUUGAAGUAGUAUUAUCAUGAGCAUGUUGAUGACAUAAAUCAAAGAGUUUAUGAAAACCCUGUCGGGUGCCACUAAUGCCCGAGGGUGAUGAUGAGUUAGGUGACCACUUUUGGUGAACUGGUGCACCGGGUACUUUGAGUGAAUAUGGUUUCGGAAAUGGGAUUAGAUUUAUGAUGUGUCGACCGUACCAACCUUACAAGUAUGACCACGUUACCCCUUAUGGGCCGGGGCUAUGUUAAUUACUCUGGUCGUUGGUAGCAAAGAGCAACAUUACUAGUGGCGGGAGUGAUGUGUGGUCACUCUCGUGAUGGGGUCGUGCCAGGUAGGCCGACUAUGCCAUUUUUAUGAGUUCCAGUCACACCGUUGGUCCCCGCAUGGUUGGAACUGUCCAGAGUCGGUGCUCGUAAGACGUACAACAUGUGGGCUGGGUACCAAUCGAGUGGACCUCUUUGUCUAGUAUCGUCAGGGGAAAGGCAUUGACCGGGUACUCACCUCGGGUAUGCUAUAUACCGCGAGUCGUGGAUGACACGGAAGUUUCCCGGAUCUCGUGGGUCCAACGUACUACCUCUGCAGAGUGUAAAACUAUUCAAAUAGCCAUGUCCACGGUCAAGGAUAGUUGGGUAAUCCUGCUUAAACUACGUCCAGCUAUCAAUUGUGGUCCUACGUUGGGACGCCAUCGGACUUAAGAAUGAUUGAGGGGUUGAUGUUGCCCACGCUUCAUUGCUAUUGGAGAUGGGGUACCACAGUGACAUCAAUGCCACCCUCACAAGUGCGCAAAUGCCUCCUUUGAGCCCCCAUAACACAUAUUGGUGUGGACUAUUGGUUGUCAUGACGUCGGCGGCGGUAUCAUGAAUACAUGGGUAUCGCCGCACCCAAAGUCCCAUGGUCUAGGUUGACAUAGUGGUUAAUCGAAGGGCUCAUCAUCGGGAACCAUCAAUACACCUUGACGAUUGCAACUCAACAACUUAAAUAAGCUUCUGCGUACAUGUAUGAAGACACUGUGUUUCGGGAUGUUUCCGAGAGGCAACAAAAAUUCAUACUCUAGCCCAUCAUCAUAUUGACGGCCCCCACAGCUCAACAUGCCCCAUGAACCUAGAGACUUGGGUGUGAUAGAUUCACGGUUAAUGGUUUUGGGACAACGACAUGGCAAACAAAGUUUAUGCCUUAUAGUGGGGUGGUGAACCACUACCUCCCGCCUUCUUUCCAGUGGCCUCCUUACUACUUGGGACUUCUUGACUGCUUCUCGAACUCGUGAGAUUUCAAUUUUUUAUUUGCGUCUUGGAUUUUCUUCUUAGACUCUUGGAAAUUUAUUUUGAUUACUCAUGCGGGAUAAUUGAUUGGCCGCGGACUUCGUAUACUUGCUUUGACAUUCAGGUUGAACUUCUUGACGACUUGUCUUUCAGGAUUUAUUGGGGAUCCACCUUGAGAACUUGGAAGGCAACCGUCACCUCCGUGGACUAGGAAAAACCCUCUAGCACUUUAUAUGGAGCUUCUAGUGGCACACCUGAGGGAGUCCGAAACUAAGGGGUCCUCAGGUGGUUGGACAGUUGUUUGUGGGCCGACCUAAUGGGCCACAUUGUUGAAGACCGGACUACAUGAUGAUCUCGUGAACAAGUAGGAAAGCUGUAAAGGUUGUCGUGUCAUCCAAGCUGUGUAGCCUAGAUUAGCGUGUUUACACCUGGCUGAAGUCGGUUGUAUCACUAGUAGAAAACAUGGUUAUAGUUUCGGUUGGUAAGGCCCUUUAGUCCCACUUCACCAAUUAGUUCUAAUAACUUGGGACUAAAGGCCCCCCUUAGUCUUGGUUUUCCACGACCCGGGACUAAUUCCCUUCCACGUGGAUGGCAACGCGUGCUGGGGGCGAGGACCUUUAGUCCCGGUUGAUAACACCAACCGGGACUAAAAGAUUUGGAGAUUUGGGGUUUAUUGUUUAUUUUCGUGUUUAUUUUCCAUUUUUCAUUUAAUUCUUUUUCAUUUCAAACAUAUCUUAUGCUACUACAUACAAUACACGUUAUAUAUGCAUAUAUCAUAGGAUUUCUUGUAGGACACUUCAUAUAUAUCAUAGAAUUUCUCAUAGGACCAUGCAUAUAUAUAUGCACAUAUGCACAAAUAUAUAUAUUUUUGUAUAUACAAUUUCUUCUACAACUUGGAGAUCAACUAUAUGCAUGCAUUAAUUGGUGAAGUGUUAUUCUCCUUUGGGAUCUAUGACGUGCUCAAGCAAAAAUCCCAAAAUAUCCUCUUGAAGUGCUCGUAUGCGUUCCAUUGGUAGGAGUUUAUCCCGCAUCUCGUGCAUCUUUAAAGAGGGAGACCAAUAUGAAUAUAUUAGUUGUGUGUAUAUAUUAGACCAUGAUAAAAAAUUAUGAAUAGUGUUUACGUACCCCAAGAGUUCUUGCAUCUUUGCAACUCCGUUCAGUCAUAAAGGAAAUGUUCUCGCAAACAUAGUAUGCACAUAGAUUAGUCCCGUGUUCCUACCGCAUGUAGAACUUUACAAGAAUAGAAUUCAGUAAGAUAAUAAUCAAGUAUUAUAAUGGUAUUGGAACUAGAACUAAAGAGAUGCCGAACGUAGCUAGUACUACUUAAUUACCUUGGAUGUUGACCAUUGCAACUUUGGUUUCCAUUCACCGCAAAACUUCUUGAUGAACCGUGUACAAACCCUGCCCGACAAAGAAAAAGAAUAAAUGAGUCACUGAUUACUUGAUAUCAGGAAAUGAACUAAAGAGGCCGACAUAGUGCGAUAAUGAUUGAAAUACCUGUCGAGCAUCAACCUCGGGUUCAUGUACUCUUUAGGUUCUUUACUUAGUGAUUCCAGUACAAGAACUUUUCCCUCGUCAACCGUAAUGAUUAGCAGGAUAAAGUUGAAACUGUGUUGUAUAAGAGGGCAUGCAUGCAUAACUCGUCAAGUACUAUACGCACACUUAACAUCGAGUAAGCAAACCAAAGUUUAUAGUACAAGGCAGUAACUGUCACGUGAAGUUGUAAGGAAAUAAUAUUGUUGGUUGGGUAUUUAGUAUCUCCGAAAAAAGGAACAAGUUGUCCUUUAUUUCAUCUUUGUUUCUUAUUAAAUUCUCCUCAUGAAUGGUAUUUGGGUUAAUGAAGCCAAUGCGAAAGAAACCAUCUCUUUUCAUUUCAAACAUCUUCAUUCUGCAUAACACCACACAAAAGAAUAUAGUGAGGAUAGUUAGAGGCAGAUGAACGAGCUGAUGAGAGCUAGAGACUUAAAUUAGAAAAAAUAAUAACUUAUAGAUAAUAGCAACUGACGACAAAUUUGUUGAGUGUGUCUUGAUUGAAUAACUACCAGACUUUUGGAUUUUCAAUCCACAAAUCUUUUCAUUGAAGUAAUGCUCUCUCUUGACUUUCACCAUGAGGCUCUCUCGCCCGAGUUCUGUUUUCCUCAUGUACCAGGUAUGGAAUCUGUACAUUUGCGUUGGUAGCUGCUCGACAAGCUCAGGCAUGACGAGAGGUUGCCCGGUGUCAAAUGUCCAUGUUAUUUUAUACCCUUCCACCGUGGGUAUUUCCUCGUCGCCUAGGAGUUGGUCAAUAGUGACACCGACCUCUCUAGCCAUGUAGGGGAAAGGGUUAGAAAAGUUUUUUGUGGGUGCAGAAAAUCUCAGUGUAAAGACUAGGUGCACUAAUUGUCUCGGCUAUCGUCCAUGCUACCUAAGGCUUCCUAUAGUCAGGAUCGCUCUGAUACCAACUAUGUGGGGACCCCUACUUACUAGUCGAGAUCGCCAAAUGAACGUGCUCAGUGAUCCCAGAGAUCAUUGCUCACCGAACACACAGAUACAGAAUAUAGAGAGUCUUACAUCCAAGUACCAAAUUAUUACAUCACGUGACCGAGUGGUCAAGUUCAUAAGGUAGGGCCUAUAACGCCAAAUAAAACAGAUACAACUAGUAGCGGAAAUCGUAGGUCUAAGCGGGUGCCCAUGCCAUCGGCCUACACCAACAGCCCUUGUGAUUGGGAAGCGUCAUAGUUCGUAGGGCCGUUUCCGAAGAUGCACUCUUCUCGAAACUCCGGUCCUUCCAUGUUUGGUCAAUAAUAUAACCAGCGGCAAGCCAAUGAGUACUUUUGAAUGUACCCGCAAACAACCCAUGAUAUGAACAAUGGAAAUGAAAGGAUAACAAGUAAUAUGCAUCUUUGGUGGUUAACAACUUGCCUGUUUCAUAAAUGAUAUGAACAACAUAAGCUAAAUGUUGAUUUGAAGAACAUGUUACAGAUAUCAAUAUAUCUGUCGACGGCUGAACACUCUAGGUUCACCCUUUAUGCCAAGUCACCAAACUUGGUCAUAUCAUCUGUUUCAUAAAACACUAUUUAAUUUGCCAUACACACACACNCACACACACUUAGUUUGUGCGGAAACGACUAGACGUAGUUUAAGAACCAACACCCAACUGUCCUUGACAGUGGACACGGCUAUUCAGAUAGUUUUACACUCUGCAGAGGUAGUACGCUGGACCAACGAGAUCCAGGAAGCUUCCAUGUCAUCCACGACUCGCGGUAUAUAACAUACCCGAGGUAAGUACCCGAUCAAUGCCUUUCCCCUAACGAUACUAGACAAAUAGGUCCACUCGAUUUGUACCCAGCCCACAUGAUGUACGUAUUAAGAGCAACGACUCUGGACAGUAUCAACCAUGCGGGGACCAACGGUGUGCCUGGAACACGUAAAAACAACAUAGUUGCCAUUCCUGGCACGACCCCCUCACGAGAGUGACCACACAUCACUCCCACCACUAGGAAUGUGGCUCUCUUCUAGCAUCGACUAGAGUAAUCAACAAAGCCCUGUCCCUUAAAGGGGUAACGUGGUCGUACAUGUAAGGUUGGGACGGUCAACACAUCAUAAAUCUAAUCCCAUUUCCGAAACCAUACACACUCAAAAUACACCGGUGCACCACUUCACCAAAAGAGGCCACCUAACUCAUCAUCACCCUUGGGCAUUAGUGGCACCCCAUGGGGUUUUACAAACCUUAGAUCUAUACCAACAUCAUGCUCCUGCUAUUAUUCUUAGCUCUACUUGUCAACAUGAUAAUAGCGUGACCCUCAUAGGUGGUAGGAUCAUGCUCAACAUGCAAGUACUAUGGAGGAGCCAUCUGUAACAUUACUUCAAUGAUUUUCCGGUACUUAGGAUCAUCUGCAAUGGAAAUAUUUGCUACACUAGCAUGCAAUAUAACAUAUGCUCAGACAUGGUCAAAGGGCUGCUUGCCUUGCUCAGCUAGGUAUCCAGGGUAUUCAAGUCCAACUCCUUCGUCACGCGGGUUUUGUAUCGUUGUACUAAAUAAAAAGCAAUAAGUGGCCCACUCCAAAAUAGAUCACAAAGUAACUUUAGAAAUGUUGUUCAAUUCUGAUAAAUCCAUAUUGUUAUUCUAAAAAUAUUUGUCUCCGGUUUUAAUGAAAGAAUAUUUUUAAAAUCAGUUUAACAGAAGCAAAAUUAUUCCGAAUUAACCCUUUUUAUUAUUAUAAAACAGAAUAGUUGUUGCAAAAAUUCAUCCAAUGGUUCUGUUAAAUACUAAACAUUUUUAGAAAAAUAAAAGUGGAAGAAUCAUAUUAUUUCACUCGUUAAAUAUUUUUACAAAAAUCAUUUAAAAUCAAGUUUGGGGGGGGGGUAAAAAGGGCUACAGUCCAUGGCCUGGCUUGACCUGGAACUGGGCCGGCCCACUAGCCAGCCAACCAGCCUGCCCAGGCGCGCGCGCCGUCAGGUUUGAAAUUGACGCGCGGGCCCCUGUGUUCAGUGGCUGCAGGCAGCGAGGGAGAGAGAGAUGAGCCACCGACAGGUGGGGCACACAUGUCGGGGUCAUCUCCUACCUCUGGCCAGAGAGGAGCAGGAGCACGCCGGCGUGGCUACCAAUGUCCUCGGGCCCUAAGGACGACAUGAAUGUGUCCGGCUCGUCGCGGCCUACCUGCUGGUGGUCUAGUCGACGGUGGAGGUGCUCUGGUUGACCCGGACGAGGUAGCCAUGGAGGAGGGGUUUCUGGUGAAGGUGGAGGUAGCAGCUACGGGCACAGAUUUGCUCGGGGAAGAGGGGAGAAAGCUUCCUCGUGUGGAGGGGAUUGCUCUGGUGGGCAGAGGGAUGCGAGAACCGAUGUGUAGCCAUAGAUCGACCGGAGCUCUGAGGCGGAGGGGCCUUGGUCGAUCUCGAGUAUCGGGGCUCUGCUUGCUCAAAGAGGUGGCUAGGGAGGUGAUUGAGGUCACAGCGAGGUGGAGUGAGGGGUUCUGGAGCGAUGGGAGGGGCUAUUUAUAGGCCCGCGAUGGUGAGCCGACUCGGGAGCGUCGAUGAUCCUCCAUGGCGUGCAUGGUGGUGCAGAGAGAGGCUGGGGUCGAAACCACGGUCUCAAGAUGUGGUUUUGGACCUCUAGGACUCACUGCGAGAGAGAGGGAGAGAGGAGAGACGCGCUAUCGUGGCCGCGCUCCUCUGGCGCUUCUUGUGCGCGUGGGCACGCGUCGCACUGGCUCUUAGCGUGGGAAAGGAGGGCCCCUGAGGGUUGCAUGAUGUAGAGGGGCUGUUGGGGGAGAGGAGAGACACCGCGGGGAGGCUGGAAAUGGCUGAUGGAGUCGCCCCCACCUCUUUUGCUGUCUGUGGCACCCAAGAGCGCAGCUUUAGCACGCCAUGGCAUGCUUCCACGCUCUCGGUGCCUUGGACGUGUCUAGCGUGUCCUGGGAGAUGCUUUGCCAUUGGAGUCCCAUGGGAGCCUCGGCUGGUCAAAGAGAGACAAGGAAACAUGUGUUGUCAGCCUUGGACUGAAGCUUAAAUUGGAGAUUUUGGUUUAUCUACUUUGAACCAGAGAGGGGCCACUUGACUGGAGUUAGGCAUUGAUGUCAGCCACCUAAUCUAUGAGUUUGGGAGAAAGGGAUUGUGUUUAGCUAAGGUUUGGAGGGGUUUUACCCAUCUGUCAGAAGGUGCUCGAAAGUGGUUUGGGGUGGUUGCACCCCACCACCGGCAUUGCAACUUAACAGGAUUGGGUUUGGGGCUAAAACAUGGGGCUUCACCAAGUUUGAGCUCCAUUGGACAAGUCUAGCUUUGUAAACAUGAAAACAUCCCUAAAUGACAAGAUAUGUUCCUUCCAAAGAGAGUGUGGGCAAAUCAAGUCCCACAAAUCACAUUUUUGGCAUGGAGUCCUCAUUUGAGGUAUUAGGCACUCCUACAAAGUUUCAGCUCCAUUGGAUAUACUUUGCUAUGUAGAGUUUCUAUAACUUCAUUUUGGACAGAAGGGGUUUUGCACUUAUGUGAUGACCUUAACCACCUUGGAUCAAGGUGAAUUUUUAUAUGGUACCAAAUAUGGCUUAGGGAUACCACUAGAAUUUUCUAGGAAUUUAUUGAGAAUAUUUCCUUUGGAAAUAUUUCAAAAGGUCAAAAGAGACAUAAAAGGUUUUCAGGGUUUUAUUCAAAUAAUAAUAAUAUAAAUAGGGGUUUAAAAUCUUAUGUAUGUAAAAUAUAUGUCCUUGUGAGUAUCUCCAAUUUUUUGUAAGGCAGAAAAGUAUUUAUCCAUAUAGGAUUACCAUUUCUGGCCUCAGAAAUGGACAUGUAAAUAAAAUAGGAAAAUAAUUCAUAAAUUAAUUAUUUUAUGGUUUUGGUGAGCUAGAAUGUUGUUAGAACCAAAUCACCAACUUUGGGUAAGAGCACUCCUUACCAUCAAGGUCUUGUAGUGCAACCCAAAGCAGGGUUUUGAAUUAUGCAAAAAUAAGAAAAAGGGUUUUGAAAGUAAUUAGGUCAUGAGAAAUGUGGUUUUCGAUAUCACAUAAUCAAGCAUACAAGCAUACAAUGACAGUCAUGGCACUCACAACAUUAGUUUUGAAAAAGUUUAAAUAAACCGAGAUUUUUGAAUGACAGAAAAAGUGAUAGUGGAAACAGGGUGUGACACCUCCAUAAGGUACGUAACUAUUUUUCUUCCAUUUGCUUUUCUUCCCUUCGAUUCUCUGAUGCGCUCUAGUUUGGCUUGUCCGGUUUCAUUCCCUUAGUAGGUGCACGUUCGCUUGAGAGACCCAACAUAUUCACCACCGGUCAACCCUAGCCACUAGCACACACCAUGGUUGGUUAUUGGUCUUACCCCGGUGCCGAGACACACAAGUUUGGUUCUUCCUAGCUUCUUCUGCCCUCACUUCGACAACACACGUAGGUGGAGGUUCCUCUCCUUUGAUCACAUGUUCUCUGGAUCGAUCAAUUUCAAGUGCUUGUUUGCUUGUUNUUGAGAUGUGCUGCUAUAGCGAAUUAACAUUUCUAGCCUUUGCUUCUCCACUCCUAACUAUGGUCACCCCUUUAUUGGUUGGAUUUAGCCCACAACUAAUAAUUUGGCCUUGAUUUUAUCUACUAGUGUAGUGACAUGGCUAUUCGAUUCCUCCUAGGCUUGUUUUUGCAUAGUACAUACCACAGUGAUACGUAAAUAAGCUUGCCUCUUUUUAUUAAUGACCAGGUGUCGAAUCCAUAAAAAAAUGUAAACUUUUCUUGUUUUAUUGUACCGACACUUUAGCCAUGGCUGACUAUGACGAUUUAGUACUAUAGGCUAUUCUUUUGUAGCAUUUUGCUAGAACAAGUGUUGUCAUUUUCUUAGAAUAAAUCUUAUUUAUGUCAUGUGCUUUUAGUGUAAGGGUAGUUUUUCUACUCUUACAUGUCCAGUGUUAGCUAUAAAUCAUGUGUAUCUGAAUGACAAAAGGGGACGAUGGUGCCUGCGUUGUCACCUCCAAGUCCAGCUACUUACGGCUUAGCAAACUACCUCUCCUCAGGCGGCUGCCUCAGCUUCGCCGACCAUGAUAAUGCGAGAUGUAAGCAGUUUGGCUGCAACCUUGUCUGUUUCUUGGUUCUGGUGAGUUCCUUGUAUUCCCUCUCUCUGCAUGUUAACCUGAGAUGGUCUGGCCACCCAUCCAAUGAUUUAGUUGUCUUGUUGUUUGUGGUGGUUGUCUUCUACCCCCCAUCUUGUCGUUUAAAUUGGUCUCUUUGUUGCUACUGGAGAAAAAUCAUAUACUGUUGCAAGGCAAAAACACAAAACAUGUUAUCUUCUUAUGUUUUUGUAUGUAGCAAGCUAGGGGUUUUGUACGCUUAAGUUAAGUCUUUUGCCUCUUCAAAUCCAUUGCAGGUCAAGCGGUGCUGACUUUGUUGCUAGAAACAAUUAAACUUCUUAGGUGCCUCUAAGGUCCAUCAUUGCAUGGUUUCUAUUUUUGUUCUUGUAGCCUUUAGGUUAGGUUUUUAUUUGGUAGGCAUAUUACCUUAUUGACAGUGAACUCCAUCCAUUGAUAAAAAAUGGAUGAUAUUCGAGUCCGUCAGGAAUUGUUCUAAGUUAGUUACUAGGGACCUGGAUGUUGUGCAUGACAGAUGGACUUGGAAGCUGUGCAUGAUAGAUCCAUCUCUCAUGCAUGUGAAAUCUAGAGAUGCAUCCUUUUGUUCGUCAUAUACUAGUUUAAAUGUGGAGUACAACCUAAAGCCGCUCAACAUCAAACUCUUUUGUUUCAAGAAACCAAUAGAUGUGCAUCUGCACAAUAUAUUUGCUCAGCUUAGCGUGGUCUCACGUAAGGCUUGAAGCUACUUAUUUAAGAUAUCAAGGCCUAUGACGGGGGGAUAACCCCGGGGUAGGCUCACUGGCCUGCUCCACUAUGUUCCGGCGUAGAUUGGGGCGAAAUCCUCCUACGGCUCCCCCUGGCCGUUUGCGCAUCCUGUGUCGGCUAGGGGCGCAGUAGUCUACUCUUUGGCCGGAUUGCUAGCUGCAAGCCAGUUGGGCAGCACCUAUUGCAUCAGCUCCUCUGGUGCGACGAAGGCCUUCGCUUAAAGGCGAAGGAACGUCAGCUGGGUACGAUGGAGUGGGAUACGUGUGGCAACAGUUGUGGCGGCUAUACCGCUGACCAGUGUUGGCUGUGCCCCGUCAACCAUGUACAGUGCUCGUCCGCCACAACCCACUCCAUUACCUGGCCCGGUGUGGCUACAGUGGAGGCGGUCGUACCGUUGAUCGGUGAUGGAUUCUGCUGGACGACGGCCUCAGUGCCAUCCGUGCUUCGCGUGAGGGGCACGCACUAAUCCCAUUGGCCAUCCGGCGGGUCCCAAAGCCUGAUGGGACCCUGUAGCCGUUGGGCCCCGCCAGCAACAAGACUCCUCAAUGUUAGGCCCACUGACUAGCCGGAGAGGCUCGCAGUCGGGUCCCCAUCUUGUACUUUAUAGCCAUAUUGUAGGCCCGGGGGUUCGUCUAUAAAACCCCCUGACCGGCCUUCAUGCAGAGGGUCGGUCGAUCUUACACACACGACACUCAUACAAGAGGGGUAGACUGCGGGCCAACUGCCCUUCUUCCUCCUCCGUCGAACAGCUCCAGGAGCAUCUUGUAGCUCCACUGGUUGAUUAAGCAUUCCGUCAGGACUAGGGGUGUUACCUCCCACGAAGGGCCCCGAACCUGGGUACAUCAUGUGUCUUAUAUCGCUAGUUACCAAUCCCGUUCCCGAAGCCCGUCGUUGACCAUUCGGCCCCAACCACUCUCGAUAAGCCUAACCAUGGCAUCUGUCAUGAGAAAACAAUGAAAGUUGGCGCCCAUUAUGGGGUCGUCCAAGGCACCGGUCGGAGUUACGCUUCCGGCGUGACCCUUCGCCAACUCCACCAGAGGCAUCGCCUGUGGACCGAUAAGCACGCCUGUGGAGCCUGCCCCCAUAGAUACCUUCACAGUGUUGAUCGUCGGCUCCACCUGCCCCGCAAGUUUAGCCAUCGAGCCCCUCGGCAAGCCGCGCUGCGACGGCCUCGCUCUGACCGAGCCCCUCAGCAAGCCAUACUGCCACGACGUCGUUGCUGACGUCGAUCACCUCUGUGCCCUCUUAGGAAACCGAAACCUUGACGAUGGACCCCGCCACCUGGGCGAGGAAGUCGACAUCGAUUCACUCUUCACACUCUUCGGCAAGUAUGGCAGCUAUGUACUCGACUGCAGCGACCCACCAGCAUUAGCUGGGGUCUUCUGUCCUAUGCGAUGCCGCCGUCUCCUUUCUCAUACGGAGGUGAUGGUCACUCGAUCCAGCACCAGCUCGGGUCGUGUUAGGGUUCCGCCGAACGCGGCUACGACCCGUUCGGGCCCUUCUGACCCACUUUGCGCUACCCUCGAGGGGUUGCAAACGCCCAUCGCACCAACUGCCAAUCCCGCGUCGGCUAGAGAGGGGUUGGAGGAGGCUCACAAACAACUGUUAGUAGAGGGCUCCGCCCUCACAGCUUCGAAGUGCCAGAUGGAGGUUGCGCAGCACGAGUACAACCCCGCUUAAGGCUUCACGUGGGUCGCCGAUGGACCUAGCAGGAGUGGUGAGGUUCAAGGUCGUGGUCGGGUUGUUGCCGAUAUCCUAGGCAACAAGCUUUCUGUUUACGACACCCCCGCAUCUAUAAUUUUUGAUGGUUCCAUGCUAUUAUCUUGUCAACUUUGGAUGUUUUGUAUGCACGAACAUGCUAUUUUAUAUCUUUUUUGGGACUAACCUAUUAACUCAGUGCCAAGUGCCAGUUUCUGUUUUUCCGUGUUUUUGACCUUUUUCAAAGAAGAAUAUUAAACGGAGUCCAAACGGAAUAAAACCCGCGGAAUGAUUUCUUUCCAUAACAGAAGAUACGCAGGGGACUUGAGAACCAAGGCAAAGCACCCCCGGGGGAGGUCACAAGCCCAUAGCCGCGACCUGGUGGGCGCCUAGCACGCUUGUGGGCCCCCCGUGGCUCCAUUGCCCUACUUCUUCAGCCUAUAAAUUCUUUAAAAAUCCAAAACCACCAGAGAGAGCCACGAAAAUAAUUUUCCGCCGCCGCAAGCUUCUGUAUCUGCAAGAUCCCAUCUGGGGACUGUUCUGGUGCCCUUCCGGAGGAGGGGAUUCGGAAAUAGAGGGCUUCUUUGUCAACACCAUUGCCUCUCCGAUGAUGCGUGAGUAGUUCUCCACAGACCUUCGGGUCCAUAGCUAGUAGCUAGAUGGCUUAUUCUCUCUCUUGGAUCUUGAAUACAUAGUUCUCCAUAAUCUUCAUGGAGAUCUAUCCGAUAUAACCUUCUUUUGCGGUGUGUUUGUCGAGAUCCGAUGAAUUGUGUAUUUAUGAUCAGAUUAUCUAUGAAUAUUAUUUGAGUCUCCUCUGAUCUCUUAUAUGCAUGAUUUCGUAUCCUUGUAAUUCUCUUCGAGUUGUGGGUUUCGUUUGGCCAACUAGAUCUAUAAUUCUUGCAAUAGGAGAAGUGCUUAGUUUUGGGUUCAUAUCAUCCGUGUCCUCACCUAGUGACAGAAGGGGUAGCGAGGCACGCAUCGUGUUGUUGCCAUCAAGGGUAAAAAGAUGGUGUUUAUAUCUAUUGCAUUAAUUUAUCCCUCUAAAUCAUGUCAUCUUGCUUAAGGCGUUACUCUGUUCGUUAUGAACACAAUGCACUAGAUGCAUGCUGGAUAGCGGUUGAUGUGUGGAGUAAUAGUAGUAGAUGCAGACAGUAUCAGUCUACUUGUCUCGGACGUGAUGCCUAUAUGUAUGAUCAUUGCCUUAGAUAUCAUCAUGACAUUGCGCGAUUCUAUGAAUUGCUCGACAGUAAUUCGUUCACCCACCGUAAUACUUGCUAUCAUGAGAGAAGCCUCUAGUGAACACUAUGGCACCCGGGUCUACUUCACACCAUAUUUUCAGAUCUACACUUUUACUUUGUCCACUACAGGAAUCGGGCAUUUUGCCGUCAUGACUCUACAGAAGGCAAAGAGGUUGUUACGGACGGCAAAAAUAUUGCCGUAAGCCCAUGACGGCAAAAAAUGUCGUCAACCCAUGUGCCCGCAUAGCGUAUCUUUGUCGUCAGCUGCUGGUAGAGCAGAUGGCAAAAUGUUUGUCGUCAGUGGAAUUAUGUUGCCGUCAGCUUCUUUGGUAGACGGCAAAAAAAUGGUCAGAAGACGGAACGGCCUAGCUAACGGACGACGUUAGCCCUUUUUGCCGUCUUCCUCACCCGUACAUGACAGCAAAAUAUGGCAUUUUUUUGCCGUCUUCCUAACCUAUACAAGACAGAAAAAUAUGUCAUAUUUUGUGCCGUUUGUCUAAGCUGUAGAUGAUAGCAAAAUAUGGUCUAUUUUUUGCCGUCUUCCUAGCCUAUACAUGACAGCAAAAUAUGGUCUAUUGUUUGCCGUCUUCCUAGCCUGUACAUGACAGCAAAAUAUGACAUUUUGUUUGCUGUCAUGAACAUGACAGCAAAGAGCAUAAAUAGACAAUUUAUAUAACAUAAUCCAUACAACAUAUAUAUAUAUAACAUAAUCCAUACAGCAUAUAUAUAUAACAUAAUCCAUACAGCACAUAUAUAUAACAUAAUCCAUACAGCAUAUAUACAACAUAAUCCAUACAUCAUAUAUACAUAUAACAUAAUCCAUACAUCAUAUAUAUAACAUUCAUAAUCCAUACAACAUAUAUAUAACAUCCUUAAUCCAUACAUCAUAUAUAUAACAUCCAUUGUCCAUACAUCAUAUAUAUAACAUCCUUAAUCCAUACAUCAUAUAACACAUCCAUAAUCCAUACAUCAUAUAUAUAACAUCCAUAAUCCAUACAUCAUAUAUAUAACAUAAUCCAUACAGCAUAUAUACAACAUAAUCCAUACAACAUAUAUAUAUAUAACAUAAUCCAUACAGCAUAUAUAUAUAACAUAAUCCAUACAGCACAUAUAUAUAACAUAAUCCAUACAGCAUAUAUACAACAUAAUCCAUACAUCAUAUAUACAUAUAACAUAAUCCAUACAUCAUAUAUAUAACAUUCAUAAUCCAUACAACAUAUAUAUAACAUCCUUAAUCCAUACAUCAUAUAUAUAACAUCCAUUGUCCAUACAUCAUAUAUAUAACAUCCUUAAUCCAUACAUCAUAUAACACAUCCAUAAUCCAUACAUCAUAUAUAUAACAUCCAUAAUCCAUACAUCAUAUAUAUAACAUAAUCCAUACAGCAUAUAUACAACAUAAUCCAUACAACAUAUAUAUAUAUAACAUAAUCCAUACAGCAUAUAUAUAUAACAUAAUCCAUACAGCACAUAUAUAUAACAUAAUCCAUACAGCAUAUAUACAACAUAAUCCAUACAUCAUAUAUACAUAUAACAUAAUCCAUACAUCAUAUAUAUAACAUUCAUAAUCCAUACAACAUAUAUAUAACAUCCUUAAUCCAUACAUCAUAUAUAUAACAUCCAUUGUCCAUACAUCAUAUAUAUAACAUCCUUAAUCCAUACAUCAUAUAACACAUCCAUAAUCCAUACAUCAUAUAUAUAACAUCCAUAAUCCAUACAUCAUAUAUAUAAUCCAUGUCAUAAUAUUUGGCAUUACUACAUAAAAUUUGGCAUUACGAUAAAUGUCUUGAUGUCUCGUAGUCCAAAGAACAUCCGUAUGACAACCUACAAUAUGAAGUCAUGCACAUAUGUCAGAUUUUGGCACACAAUAAAUUAAGGUUAUCUAUUUGUUCGGAACACAAUAAAAUUUGAGGAACACAUAGAAAUUCUCCAAGCAGGGAGACUCACAAAUAAAAAACAUAACUCGCAGCUACAUUCUGAUCAGACAUGUUUCAUUACAAGUAGGAAUAGAGUAAGAUCAUAGUAUAAAUAUAAAUGAUUUCUAAAUAAAGAUGGUGUAUUGUUUGAGUGCUAACAUACUCGCUGUACAUCCUAUUGUGUCGCAUAUACAACUUUGUAUAUAACCAUCAUGACAAGGAGAAAUGUACAAACAGAGUAGCAGCAACAAGUUCUAAGUUUCGGGAAAAAUGCAUGUUGUCUCUCUCCUAAUUUAGAGAUGUGCUCCACCAUAUUUUUGAAUUAACCCUCACAUACAUACUAGAGGAAGUCCCCUCAAGAUAUUUUCUUACAAAUUUUAAAGAUCCUAGGAAAUCAGUAGAUUGAAAUUCAGACUAUACAAAGCAUAGUCCAUGUAUACAAGAAUGACAACAUGAUAGUAUGUAAUAUAGCAGUAGAAAUUUAACAUGAUGCCAGUUUCACAUUUUUAGUGACAGAUUAAUAUAUUUCACACAAGGAAACACAACGGCGUAGGUUGACAUAGUACAUCGAAAUGACACUUAAUCCCCUGCACAUAUACAUCCAAAUACAGAUCAUGGUAUAUAUGCAUCAGUAAAAACUCAAGACAUAGGUAUUGUUCAGUUCCAUUUAUGUACUUGGAACCUACGUCCUGACUACCUCUCAAACAUAAUGAAAAUAAUAAAUGAAACUACAAACCGAACUGAACUCUUGUGAAGCUGACUGGAUAUGUGCUAAGUCAGAUAGUCCACCCAGCAAUCGAAAUGAAUAUAUCACUUAGUCACUUAGUCAAACAUAAUGGUAGUGGAGCACUAGGUAGUCGUGAAUGUUGGCAAGAGGAAAUAGCCACUCCACGCCAUCAAUAAUUGGUUUGAAAAGUAAAUAAUAAUUAAACAUACUAAUUUUGUUAUUAAUGUCGUGCAUGUUACACACACGCCAUCUGUAUGCAAGAUAUUGAUGGCCGGUCAAUAUGUUACAUUCUCAAAUAGAAAUUCUUCGCUACACAUGUUACCAGUAUUUUAAUGCUUUCUCCUUUAUUAAUAUUAGGGAUAGAUAUUCAUGUUUAUCAUAUAUGAGAAAAACAAUGACAUGAUAUCAACAAUUAGAGCAUAUUAACAAUUCUGCUAUGUCAUUCUAUGGGUUCAAAUGGGUCAAAUACAUAGCUUCAAGUGGUCUCGUAAUCAUGAAGAUCUCAAGUGGUCUCUACUUGUAAAUGAUAUAUGGAGGCACUAACCAUAGCAGAUCUCAAAGAUGCGGAGAACCAUCAAGGUUACUGCCAGGAGCAUGAGCAUAUGAAGAUCCAGCAUUAUUCGAUCCAUUGGUCGAUGGAUGAUGCAUGAAGUAUUACAUGGUUAGAAUGACACUCGGACUAAGAAAUGCAAUAAUGAUCCUUGAAAAUAUUUUAGUUAACUAACCGUAGGACGCGGAGUAAGGGCAGAAAAAUGAUAAGCGGGCUUACCAUUCUGGGUACAAUAAGCCUUCAAAUUAUGUUAAGAGCGGUGAAGGUUAAGCACCGAUAGUAAAAUACUAGAUGUGUUGGCUAUUACGGAAUUGUGCUUGGCUAUUAAGGAACUAAUCGUAAACAACUGAAAGUUUUGAGUAUGUUGUGCCCACACCGCCUGCUGCGUCCUCUCAUCAAUCAGUUGGCUCUCCUCUGCCCUCUCUGUCGCCCUCUCCGCAGCCGCCCAUUGCCUCUCCACUAUCAACUUCUCCUCGAGUAGGCACUACAGAAUAUGGCAUCACAAUCACAUCUUCAAAUCCAACAUUAUGUAAUAAUUACAAAAAGCAUAUGUAGAAGGACUUGUAUAGAAUACCUCCAUCUCGGCCCUUGCUAGAGUCGCGCGUUCACAUACAAAAGAUUUUGGGAGACCUAGCCGAGCCUUGUGCUAAGCUAGAGUGCGAGUGGAGGACCUAGGGAACAUGGCUCCUGCAAUAGCCUCCUUGCCAUGUUUCUUCCCCUCUCCAGCGAUCAUAACCAACUCUUGGGCAAGGGGCACCGAUGCCACAUCUUAGUCGGGCCGUCUCAACUUUGUUGCUACCUCUCUAACUUCGGUCAGCCGAUUGUAGGCGGUCUAGCUGGCACAUGUUCAAAGGAACAGUUGACACAUGUUGUUUUCGUAACAAAUUUAGUGCCAGGCCAUCUCAAACCUAACUUUUUAAUUGUUCCGAAUCAUCAACUAUCAUGUCUACUAAUUGUGUAAGUACUUUAGAGAAAUACUACACAAUUUGGAAUGUCAUGUCUUCCAAUGUUAAUAUAAGCACCACCAUUUAGAAAAUAAGCACCACCAUUAACGAAUGCCAAACUAUUUGUAUCACAUGAAUUCGGUAGCAUAGGACAUUCACAAGGGAAUAUGAAGAGGAGUGUAUACUUAGUUUCUAUAUUUGUUGAUUCAGGUGUUGGCCAUCAAUUAAAGAUUGCAGAAUACUUGGCAGAAAACCAACAUAAAUGAUGCUGACAUUAUGGUGCCGAUGAAGUGAUUUGUCCAAGCCACAUCAAUAAACAGAAGGUCCGAUGAAGUGGGAUAUUUUUUCAUGUGACAGAUAUUGGUUAUUACCCCGUGUGUUGAAGAUGCAGCUGAAGUGUUGAUCUUUAAAAAUAUACUGACCGGGACCUACAUAAGUUGAUUUCCUAUGGUCACUUUUCCACUGUCCCGGACUCCAACUAUGCAUGCAGGUGUAGAAGUUUUCUUUCCUAUGGUUUUCUUUCCUAUGGUUUGCAACUGCAUUCCUCUCAACAUGCAGGUGUAGAAGAACACCAGUCCUAUGUUUUCCCUUCCAUUGACCUGAAUAGCACCUGAGCAUCGAGGCGAAUGGGGAGGGAUCGUACCCUGAACUGAACAGAACUGGACUGAAUAGAAGGGGAAAUGGGAGGAUCGACCUGCAACGUGAGAAUGGGGAGACCGCAACCCCGACCUGGAUCCUUGGUGGGGCGACCUGUGACCAGCGGUGGGGCGACUAGCAGGAAGGCCCGACCGGCGGUGGGGAAAUCAGCAGGGAGGCCCGACCGGCGACCGACAAUGGAGCGGCCGGAUGGCCUACCCUCCUGCCAUAUCGCACACACCAAUGACGAUGUCGACCGGUGAGGGCAGCGGCGGCAGCCGGGGAGGUCACCGGCGGCGGUUGGGAGACUCGCGGCGACUGGGAGCAGCGGUGGGGAACCCUAGCUGGGGAUUUUUUCACUCGCGAGAGGAGAGGGCCAGGCAGCGACCGGCGGGACGGCGCGAAUUGGCCGGUCUCCUCACUCACGGUGGGGCGCGAAGGGAGCGGAGAACGACGGCGGCGGCCAUUAGGGAGGCCGGCGAUGGCGACCGAGAAGUCCGGUGGCGGUGACAAGGGAGGCCGGCGGUGGUGGGAACCUAGCCAGCUGUAUGCGCGAGAGGAUUAGGUCACGAGAGGUGAGGUGCGGGGAGCAGUUUUCGAUCUGGGCCGGGGUUGCUGGUUUUUUUUAUUUUUUUCAGUCGUUGCCGUCUUCGAAGUAGAGAAAGAGAUGACAAAGAUUUAUUUGUUGCCGUCAACUGACCCAAAUAAAAGACAACAAAACAUGUGUCCGUUUAGGCCCGUUAAACGCAGACGUGCACAGACUUUUUCCGUUAGGCCGCGCGUAAGAAGACGGCAAAAAUGCUACCUUUGCCGUCACCUGGCUAAAUAGUUGACGGCAAAACUUUAUUUUGCCGUGUAUAUUUUUUUGCCGUCUACUUUAUUUUUAUUUUUAGCGAUAGUAUUUUUUUGCCGUCUACCCAUGACGGCAAGGUAACCGUUUGCUGUCAACUCCGACGAUUUGCUGACGGCAAAGAUUAUACGUGUAGGAAAAAUAGCUGAUUCCUAUAGUGGUUGCACUUUCCACCUUCAGGUCUCACCUUGUAAAUAAUCGUGAAGGGAUUGACAACCCCUUUAUAGCAUUGGGUGCAAGUUUGUUUGUUUUUGCGCAGGUACAUUGGUGCCUUAUCUUGAUACUCCUACCGGAUUGAUACCUUGGUUCUCAAACUGAGGGAAAUACUAACUGCUAUUGUGCUGCAUCACCCUUUCCUCUUCAAGGAAGAACGAACUCAAGCUAAAGAUGUAAUAAGAAAAAUUUCUGGCGUUGUUGCCGGGGAGGAGUAUUCAAAGUGAAGCAUAUACAAGUAACUAUCGCAAACUCAUCUCUUGCAUUUGCAUUAUUUUCCUUUUGCCUCCAAUUUCCCUCUCCCCCACUUCUGAAAAAAAACAAAAUUUACAAAAAUAUUUGCCUUUUGCGUUCGCCCUUUUCUUUCGCUUGCUUUCUCUUCGCUUGUGUGCUUGCUAAGUCACCAUGAUUGAAAACACCAAUUGUGCGACUUCUGGAAUACUAAUAAUAAUGAUUUUAAUAUUACUCCGAUUGCUCCCGCCACUAGUGCGGAAUCAUAUGAAAUCAAUUGUGCCUUGCUGAAUAUUGUUAUGAAAAAGCAAUUUUCCGGCCUUCCUAGUGAAGAUGUCGCAUCCCAUGUUAAUACCUUCAUUGACAUAUGCGAUAUGAAAAAGACGAAAGAUGUGGAUAAUGAUGUGAUUAAAUUGAAGCUAUUUCCGUUCUCAUUACGAGAUCGACCAAAAACUUGGUUUUCAUCUUUACCCAAAAAUAGUAUUGAUUCUUGGAACAAGUGUAAAGAUGCUUAUAUAUCCAAGUAUUUUCCACCGGCUAAGAUUAUCUCUCUCCAUAAUGAUAUCAUGAAUUUUAAGCAACUAGAUCAUGACCAUGUUGCAAAAUCUUGGGAGAGAAUGAAAUUGAUGAUUAGAAAUUGUCUCGCUCAUGGCUUGAGUCUUUGGAUGUUAAUACAAAUCUUCUAUGCUAGUUUGAAUUUUUCUUCUAGAAAUAUCUUGGAUUCCGCCUCCGGUGGAACUUUCAUGGAAAUCACAUUAGGAGAAGCCACAAAAAUCCUAGAUAAUAUCAUGACAAACUAUUCUCAAUGGCACACUGAAAGGUCACCUACUAGUAAAAAGUGCAUGCUAUAGAAGAAAUUAACUCUUUGAGUGCUAAGAUGGAUGAGUUAGUGAAAUUGUUUGCUAGUAAACGUGCUCCUCUAGAUAAAAAUGAUAUGCCUUUGUCUUCCUUGAUUGAGAAUAUAAAUGAAAGAUUGGAUGUUAAUUUUGUUGGUAGGAAUAAUUUUGGCAACAACUGUGCUUAUAGAGGUAACUUUAUUCCUAGGCCUUUUCCUAGUAAUCCCUCUAAUAACUUUGGCAAUUCCUACAACAAUGCUCAUGGAAAUUACAAUAAAUUACCCUCUGAUCUUUAGAGUAAUAUUAAAGAGUUUAUCAACUCACAAAAUAUUUUCAAUGCGUCCAUAGAAGAAAAACUGCUCAAAAUUUAUGACUUGGCUAGGACGGUUGAUAGAAUAUCUCUAGAUAUUGAUGCUUUGAAAUUGAGAUGUCCUCCUCCCAAGAUUAAUAUGGAUGAAACUUUGAAAGCUAUGCGUGUUUCCAUGAAUGAGAGUAAAGAAAGAACCGCCCAAAUUCGUGCUAGACAAGAAUGGCUUUAAAAGGCGUGUUCUCGUGAUGAGAAUCACGAAGAUCUUAAAGUGCUUGGUGUGACUCCUAUUGAAUCCUUGUUUUAUAAUGUCAAUCCUAAUGAUGAUGGGGCUGGAUAUGAAUCCACUUUGGUUGAGAAACGCCCCAAUGAUUUGGAGUCUUUCUAUCUUGAUGCUAAAAGCACUGAAAGUGGAGUAGAGGAUGUAAAAACUUUGAGUAGUGAUGAAAUUACUACUUUGGAUUUCAAGGAAUUCAAUUAUGAUAGUUGCUCUUUGAUUUAAUGUAUUUCCUUAAUGCAAUCCAUGCUAAACUCUCCACAUGCUUAUAGCCAAAACAAGGCCUUUACAGAUUAUAUCGUCGAUGCUAUGAUGAAAUCUCUUGAAGAGAAACUUGAGUUGGAGGUAUCUAUUCCUGGAAAACUAUUAGGGAAUGUUGCAUGGGAAUCAAAAAUUUCCUACGCGCACGAAGACCUAUCAUGGUGAUGUCCAUCUAUGAGAGGAUAUUUGGAUCUACGUACCCUUGUAGAUCGCACAGCAGGAAGCGUUAAGAAACGCGAUUGAUGUAGUGGAACGUCUUCACGUCCCUCGAACCGCCCCACAAACCGUCCCACGAACCGUCCCGCGAUCCGUCCGACGAACCGUCUCGCGAUCCGUUGCAUGAACUGUCUUGCGAUCCGUCUCAUGAUCCGUUCCAAUCUAGUGCCGAACGGACGGCACCUCCGCGUUCAGCACACGUACAGCUCGAUGACGAUCUCCACCUUCUUGAUCUAGCAAGAGGGCGCGGAGAGGUAGAAGAGUUCUCCGACAGCGUGAUGGUGCGCCGGUGGUGGUGAUGAUCUACUCCGACAGGGCUUCGCCUAAGCUCCACAGAAAUAGGAUCUAGAGGAAAAACUGUGUGGUAUAGGGUCGAGAAGCAUGUGGCAAAGUUGUGUCUCAAAAAUCCUCAAUACCUCUAGUAUAUAUAGGAGGGAGGGAGGGGAGGAGGCAGCCUCAAACCCUCAAGGUUUGGCCGAAAUUGGAGGUGGAGGAGUCCUACUCCAAUCCUACUUGGAGUAGGAUUCCAGCUUCCCACUCGAAAACUCUUUCCACCUUGUGUUUUUCCUUCUCAAACCUUAUGGGCCUUAGUGGGAACUUAUUCCAGCCCACUAGGGGCUGGGUUAUCUCUUCCCAUUGCCCAUGAGACCCCUUGAGCCGUGACACCCCUCCCGAUGGUCCCCGGCACCCCUCCCGGCACCCCCGGUACACUACCGAUGAGCGCGAAACUUUUCCGGUGACCACAACAGGACUUCCUAUAUAUCAAUCUUUACCUCCGGACCAUUCCGGAACUCCUCGUGACAUCCUGGAUCUCAUCUGGGACUCCGAUUAACUUUCGGUUACCAACACCUAUAACUCGGCUAUACCGAAACGUCACCGAACCUUAAGUGUGCAGACCCUGCGGGUUCGACAACUCUAUAGACAUGCCCCGAGGUACUCCUCGUUGAAAACCCAACACUUGGACCUGGAUGCCCAUAUUGGAUCCUAUAUAUUCUCCGAAGAUCUUAGCGGUUGAACCUCACUGUCAAGGAUUCAUAUAAUCCCAUAUGUUAUUCCCUUUGUCCUUCGGUAUGUUACUUGCCCGAGAUUUGAUCGUUGGUAUCCGCAUACCAAUUUUAAUCUCAUUACCGGCAAGUCUGUUUACUUGUUCUGUAAUACAAGAUCCCGUGACUUACACUUAGUCACAUUGCUUGCAAGGCUUGUGUGUGUUGUUGUAUUACCGAGUGGGCCCUGAGAUACCUCUCCGUCACACGGAGUGACAAAUCCUAGUCUUGAUCCAUACUAACUCAACGGACACCUUCGGAGAUACCUGUAGAACACCUUUAUAGUCACCAGUUACAUUGUGACGUUUGAUGCACACAAGGUAUUCCUCCGGUGCCAAUGAGUUAUAUGAUCUCAUGGUCAUAGGAACAAAUACUUGACACGCAGAAAACUAUAGCAAUAAAACGACACGAUCAAUAUGCUACGUUCAUAGUUUGGGUCUUGUCCAUCACAUGAUUCUCCUAAUGAUGUGAUCCCGUUAUCAAGUGACAACACUUUUCUAUGGUUAGGAAACCUAGACCAUCUUUGAUCAACGAGCUAGUCAACUAGAGGCUUAGUAGGGACAGUGUGUUGUCUAUGUAUCCACACAUGUAUUUGAGUUUCCAACCAAUACAAUUCUAGCAUGGAUAAUAAAUAGCUAUUAUGAACAAUGAAAUAUAAUAAUAACUAAUUUAUUAUUGCCUCUAGUGCAUAUUUCCGACAGUCUCCCACUAGCACUAGAGUCAAUAAUCUAGUUAACGUCACCAUGUGAUUUCAUUGAAUCCAACACCCAUAUAGUUCUGGGGUCUGAUUACGUCUUUCUCGUGAGAGAGGUUUUAGUCAAUGGUUCUGAAACUUUCAGAUCCGUAUGUUCUUUUCAAAUCUUUAUGUCAUCUUAUAGAUGCUGCUACUACGUGCUAUUCGGAAAUACUUCAAAUAUCUACUCUACUAUACGAAUCUGUUUCACUACUCAUAGUUUAUUCGGAUUAGUGUCCAAGCUUGCGUCGACGUAACCCUUUACGAUGAAUUUUUUAACCACCUCCAUAAUCGAGAAAAAUUCCUUAGUCCAUUAGUUACUAAGUAUAACUUUGACCGAUGUUCGGGGAUUCAAUCCUGGAUCACUCUCUAUACCUCUUAACAGACUUGUGGCAAGGCACAUAUCAGGUGCGGUACACAGCAUGGCAUACUGUAGAGUCUACGGCUAAGGCAUAGGGGACGACCUUCGUCCUUUCUCUUUCUUCUGUCGUGGUUGGGCUUUUGAGUCUUACUCAUAUUCGCACCUUAAAAAACAGCCAAGAACUCCUUCUUUGCUGAUCUAUUUUGAACUCCUUCAAAAACUUGUCAAGGUAUGAAUUUCAUUUGAAAGUUCUAUUUCAGCAUGUUGAUCUAUCUUCAUAUAUCUUGAUGCUUAAUGUUUUAAGUAGCUCUAUCCAGGUCUUCCUUUGAAAAACCCCUUUUAAAGAAUCUUUAUUCUUUACAUAAAUUCUACAUUACUUCUGAUCAACAAUAGGUCAACCACAUAUACUUUAUCAGAAAAAAUAUAGUGCUCCCACUCACUUCUUUGGAAAUACAAGUUUCUCAUAAACCUGUUACAAACCCAAAGCUUUGAUCAUCUCAUCAAAGCGUAUAUUCCAACUCCGAGAUGCUUGCACCAGUCCAUAAAAGGAUCGCUGGUGCUUGCAUACUUCUUAGUAUCCUUAGGAUCGACAAAACCUUCUGAUUGUAUCACAUACAAUCUUUCCUCAAAGAAACCGUCGAGGCAACAAUGUUUUGACAUCCUGUGUGCAAUAAUUCAUAAAUAAUGCAGCAAGUACUAACAGACUUUCAGCAUCGCUACGAGUGAGAAAAUCUCAUCAUAGUCAACUCUUUGACCUUGUCGGAAACAUCUUUGCGACAAGUCGAGCUUUUCUUAAUGGUGACUUAUCACCAACAGCGAUUGUCUUUCUUUUAAAGAUCCAUAUUUACUCAAUAGUGCUACGACCACCAAGUAGUUCUUCCAAAGUCUACACUUUGUUUUCAUACAUAGAUCCUCUCUCGGAUUUCAUGGCCUCCAGCCAUUUGUCGGAAUCCGGGCCCACCAUCGCUUCUACAUAGCUCGUAGCUUCAUUGUUGUUCAACAACAUGACCUCCAAGACAGGGUUACCGUACCACUCUGCAGCAGUACGCAACCCUGUCGACCUACGAGGUUUGUAGUAACUUGAUCCGAAGCUCAAUGAUCACCAUCAUCAGUUUCCACUUCAAUUGGUGUAGGCGCCACAGGAACAUCUUCCUGCACCCUGCUACACACUGGUUGAAGUGAUAGUUCACUAACCUCAUCAAGUUCCACCACCCUCCCACUCAAUUCUUUCGAGAGAAACCUUUCCUCGAGAAAGGACCCGUUUCUAGAAACAAACACUUUGCUUCCAGAUCUGAGAUAGGAGAUGUAUCCAACUAUUUUGGAUAUCCUAUGAAGAUGCAUUUAUCCGCUUUGGGUUUGAGCUUAUCAGACUAAAACUUUUUCACAUAAGCAUCGCAGCCCCAAACUUUAAAGAAAGGACAACUUAGGUUUCUUCAAACCAUAGUCUAUACUGUGUCAUCUCAACGGAAAUACGUGGUGCCCUAUUUAAAGUGAAUGCAGUUGUCUCUAAUGCAUAACCCAUGAACGAUAGUGGCAAUUUGAUAAGAGACAUCAUAGUAUGCAACCUAUCAAAAUAGGGCAUGGCUAUGACGUUCGGACACACCAUCACACUAUGGUGUUCUAGGUGGCAUGUAUUGCAAAACAAUUUCCACAUUCGUUUUAACUGUGUGCCAAAACUCGCAACUCAGAUAUUCAACUCUAUGAUCAUAUCGUAGACAAUUUAUCCUCUUGUCACGAUGAUCAUCACUCCAAAAUAUCUUUGAACUUUUCAAUAUUUCAGACUUGUUAUUCAUCAAGUAAAUACUCUUGUAUCUACACAAAUUGUCAGUGAAGUAAGAACAUAACGAUAUCCACUGCGUGUCUCAGCACGCAUUGGACUGCACACAUCAAAAAUAUAUUACUCCCAACAAGUUAUUCUCUUGUUUAAUGUGGCAUGAUCUGCAUGUCUCAAUUGAUUCAAAAUCAAGUCAGUCCAAACGAUCCAUUUGCAUGGAGUUUCUUCAUACGUUUAUACCAACAGGUAUGGUUUGCAUGUCUCAAACGUUUCAAAAAUGAGUGAGUACAAAGAUCCAUCAGCAUGGAGCUUCUUCAUGCAUUUUACACCAACAUGACUCAAGGGGCAGUGCCACAACUAAGUGGUACUAUCAUUAUUACUUUGUAUCUUUUGGCACCAAUAUUAUGAACAUGUGUAACACUACAAUCGAGAUUCAGUAAACCAUUUCAUUUCGAGUUACUAAUCACUUAGCAACCGAACCAGUAUCCAAUACCCUCGUUCUACUAGGAGUACUAGUAAAGUACACAUCAAUAUCAUGUAUAUCAAAUAUACUUUUGUCGACUUUUGCCAGCCUUCUUAUCUACCAAGUAUCUAGGGUAGCUUCGCCUCAGUGAUCGUUUUCCUCAUAACAGAAGCACUUAGUCUCGUCUUUGGGUUCAAUUUUGGGUUUCUUCAUUAGAGCAGCAACUUGUUUGCCGUUUCAUGAAGUAACCCUUCUAGCCCUUGCCCUUCUUCAAACUAGUGGUUUUACUAACCAUCAACAAUUUACACUCCUUAUUGAUUUCUACUUUCGUAGUGUCAAACAUUGCGAAUAACUCAAGGAGCAUCAUAUCUAUCCUUGAUUUGUUUAUAGUUCAUCAUGAGCAGCUUAGUGGCAGUGACUUUGGAGAACCAUCACUAUCUCAUAUGGAAGAUUAACUCCCACUUGAUUCAAGCGAUUGUUGUACUCAGACAAUCGGAGAACAUGCUCAACGAUUUGAGCUUUUCUCCUUUUACUUUGUAGGCAAAGAAUCUUGUCGGAGGUCUUAUACCUCUCAACAAGGGCAUGAGCAUGAAAUCUCAAUUUCAUCUCUUUGAACAUCUCUUAUGUUCUGCGACGUUUUCAAAACGUCUUGGGCGCCUUGCUUCUAAGCCAGUAAGUAUUGCACACUGAACUAUCAUUUAGUCAUCAAAUAUGUGUAUGUUAGAUGUUCGCAACAUCCACAGACGAUGCACGAGGUGCAGCACACCGAGUAGUGCAUUAAGGACACAAGCCUUCUGCGCAGGAAUGAGGACAAUCCUUAGUUUUACGGACUUAGUCCGCAAAGUUGCUACUAUCAACUUUCAACUAACUUUUCUCUAGGAACAUAUUAAAACAGUAGAGCUAUUGCGCAAGCUACAUUGUAAUUCGCAAAUUCCAUUAGACUAUGUUCAUGAUAAUUAGUUCAAUUAAUCAGAUUACUUAAGAACUCCCACUCAAAAAGUACAUCUCUCUAGUCAUUUGAAUGGUGCAUGAUCCAAAUCCACUAUCUCAAGUCCGAUCAUCACAUGAGUCGAGAAUAUUUUUAGUGGUAAGCAUCUCUAUGCUAAUGAUAUCAACUAUACGAUUCAUGCUUGACGUUUCGGUCUUUUGUGUUCCGAGGCCAUUUCUGCACAUGCUAGGCUCGUCAAGUUUAACCCGAGUGUUCCGCGUGGGCAACUGUUUUGCACCCGUUGUAUGUGAACGUUGAGUCUAUCACACCCGAUCAUCACGUGGUGUCUCGAAACAACAAACUGUAGCAACGGUGCACAGUCGGGGAGAACACAAUUUUGUCUUGAAAUUUUAGUGAGAGAUCACGUCAUAAUGCUACAGUCGUUCUAAGCAAAAUAAGGUGCAUAAAAGGAUUAGCAUCACAUGCAAUUCAUAAGUGACAUGAUAUGGCCAUUAUCACGUGCUUCUUGAUCUCCAUCACCAAAGCACCGACACGAUCUUCUUGUCACCGGCGCCACACCAUGAUCUCCAUCAUCAUGAUCUCCAUCAAUGUGUCGCCAUCGGGGUUGUCGUGCUAAUCAUGCUAUUACUACUAAAGCUACGUCCUAGCAAUAUAGUAAACGCAUCUGGAGACACAAACGUUAGUUUGAAGACAACCCUAUGUCUCCUGUUGGUUGCAUACCAUCGACGUGCAAGUCGAUAUUAACUAUUACAACAUGAUCAUCUCAUACAUCCAAUAUAUCAUAUCACGUCAUUGGCCAUAUCAUAUCACAAGCAUACCCUGCAAAAACAAGUUAUACGUCCUCUAAUUUGUUGUUGCAUGUUUUACGUGCACUACUAGGAAAAGGGCUAUAGAUGAUAUAGAUACUAAUGGCGCACCACACAAGCAGUGCGCCACUACUAUAUAGUAGUGGCGCACCAUGUGAGGUGUGCCAUUAGUGUGGUGGAUACUAAUGGCACACCACACUCUCNNNNNNNNNNNNNNNNNNNNNNNNNNNNNNNNNNNNNNNNNNNNNNNNNNNNNNNNNNNNNNNNNNNNNNNNNNNNNNNNNNNNNNNNNNNNNNNNNNNNNNNNNNNNNNNNNNNNNNNNNNNNNNNNNNNNNNNNNNNNNNNNNNNNNNNNNNNNNNNNNNNNNNNNNNNNNNNNNNNNNNNNNNNNNNNNNNNNNNNNNNNNNNNNNNNNNNNNNNNNNNNNNNNNNNNNNNNNNNNNNNNNNNNNNNNNNNNNNNNNNNNNNNNNNNNNNNNNNNNNNNNNNNNNNNNNNNNNNNNNNNNNNNNNNNNNNNNNNNNNNNNNNNNNNNNNNNNNNNNNNNNNNNNNNNNNNNNNNNNNNNNNNNNNNNNNNNNNNNNNNNNNNNNNNNNNNNNNNNNNNNNNNNNNNNNNNNNNNNNNNNNNNNNNNNNNNNNNNNNNNNNNNNNNNNNNNNNNNNNNNNNNNNNNNNNNNNNNNNNNNNNNNNNNNNNNNNNNNNNNNNNNNNNNNNNNNNNNNNNNNNNNNNNNNNNNNNNNNNNNNNNNNNNNNNNNNNNNNNNNNNNNNNNNNNNNNNNNNNNNNNNNNNNNNNNNNNNNNNNNNNNNNNNNNNNNNNNNNNNNNNNNNNNNNNNNNNNNNNNNNNNNNNNNNNNNNNNNNNNNNNNNNNNNNNNNNNNNNNNNNNNNNNNNNNNNNNNNNNNNNNNNNNNNNNNNNNNNNNNNNNNNNNNNNNNNNNNNNNNNNNNNNNNNNNNNNNNNNNNNNNNNNNNNNNNNNNNNNNNNNNNNNNNNNNNNNNNNNNNNNNNNNNNNNNNNNNNNNNNNNNNNNNNNNNNNNNNNNNNAUCUGUUGGUGGUGCACCACUACUAUUUUUUUUACAGAACUACUAAUGGCGCACCAGAGGAGGUGCGCCACUAGUAACCAGCGUUACUAAUGGCGCAUAUGUAGGUGGUGCGCCAUUAGUAACCUGGGACCAGCUAGAUAUUUUGGACAGCCACCUACCACACUCACUUUCCCCACUUUCAUUCUCUCCACCUCCUGCUCCAAGCUUGUCUCGGGUGCCUCCUCCUCCUCACCUCAUUUGCAUCAUAGACUCACCCAAAUUAAGUGGUUAAUUACCUAUUUUUGAUAGGUAAGUAAGGGGAAAGCUUUUAUGUUGUAGAUCUACUUUUUUCUCCCUCCAACAACGUGCACUUGCACUUUUUAUGGCCUAGCUAGAUCUACGUAUGUUUUCUGUGUUGCAUAUGUUUGUGGUGUUGCAUAUAUGUUUGUGUUUGCUGGUACCGGUAUUGGAAAUGCGAUAGUUGCCAAUAUUUUCCCGGAAUGUUGAUUCAUUUCCGUUUCGGCGAGAAUUUGGCACUAUGCAUUCUUUUUUGUCCUAUUUUUAGGCAAAGUCAUGCCAAUUUUUUUUGGUUCUAAAAUAUCGUUUUGCUCUACCCCGCAGGUGACCAUGGUCCGCACGAUGACCGAAGGCAUCGUGAAUAGGUUUUUGAGCUCCGCGAAGGCCGAAAUGCUUCAAAAGAACGAGACGGAGAUAAGAUGUCCGUGUCGAAGAUGCAAGCUGAAGAGCCUUAUGGACCCGGAUUCUGUAAAGGUGGAGGACCACCUGCUCUUGCGUGGUUUCAUGGAUGGCUAUUGGUGGCAAGGUGAUGAAGAUGAUUAUGAAGUCGUCCAUGGGGGCCGGGAAAGAAAUAGGAAGGGCAUGAGCAAGAAAACCUCGGCGAGGGCGGGCGAGAAGACGAAGAAUCUCCAGGACACAGUCAUCAUGUAGAAGAUGCCGGACAUGAUGAUGAGGAAGAUGCCGGAGCAGACGAAGGGCAUGAUCAUGAAGAUGAAGAUGCCGGAGCAGACGACGAUGGACCAUCGAUGGCCUGGGUGCAGGACCCUCAUAUUCAAGAGCUGCUUCUUAAGCAGACGGAUAACGCAAGAGCUGCCGCCCGAGAGAAAGCCAAGCUGGAUCAACUGGAGAUAGACGCGGUUACUCCAUUGUAUGAAGGAUGCAGGCCCAAGGAUACCUGCCUGAAAGUAACGCUCAUGGCUCUGGAGAUGAAGGUAAAACACAAAAUGACCGACACAUGCUUCGACGAGAACAUGUCAUUCUGGCACGAACGUAUUCCCAAGGGGAACAAGUGCCCGACCAGUUUCGAGGAGGCGAAGAAAAUCUUGUGUCCUCUGGAUUUACCGCACGUGAAAUACCAUGUGUGCAUGAAAAAUUGCAUCAUUUAUCGGGACGAGCACGCGGAGUCUACCAUAUGUCCGGUGUGCGGCGUCAGUCGAUACAAGAAGAGGAAGAAUGCUCCUCGAAAAGUGGUGUGGUACUUUCCGAUAUAUCCUCGUUUGCAACGAUAUUUCGCGGACCCUAAGGUAGAAAAGCUCCUGCGUUGGCACGCGGAUAGGGAGGAGAAAAAAAGAGAAGAUGACGGAAAUGAUCCGGAUAUAAAUAAAAAACACAAGAUGUUGAGUCACCCUAAGGAUGCGAGCCAGUGGCAAGCGUUUAACUACGAAUACAAAGAAUUUGGGGACGAUCCAAGGAACAUCGUGCUGGGCGGAAGCACCGAUGGAGUCAAUCUGUUUGGCAGCCAGAGAAGCAAACUUAGCACCUGGCCUGUGUUUGUCUGGAUGUACAACCUUCCCCCCUGGUUGUGCAUGAAGAGGAAGUACAUUCACAUGAGUAUGCUAAUUGAAGGGCCGAAACAACCAGGGAACGACAUCAAUCUAUAUCUGGGGCUGCUGAAAGAGGAGCUAGACACGCUGUCGAAAACGCCAGCCAAUACGUGGGACGCCGCAGAGAUAGAAUAUUUCCCUAUGAGAGCCGCACUGCUCACGACGGUGCACGACUAUCUCGGUUACGGAUAUGUCGCGGGGCAGGUGGUCCACAGAUUUUCUGGAUGCGUCAGGUGCAUGGAUGACAGAAUGAAUCGCCAGCUAGAUAGAGAUCCCGGGUCUACAAAAACCGUGUUCAUGGGACAUCGAAGGUGGCUUCGCAACGAUGACACAUGGAGAAUCGCAAGGAUCUGUUCGAUGGUGAAACCGAACCCCGAAGACACCCCCUUAUGAGGAGCGGCGAGGAAAUAUACGAGUUGUUGAAAAAUUGGAAAGAGUGCCCACCGUCGGGAAAGGCGCCAAAGCCGGGAAAGUAGCAAAAGGCGCCAGAGCCGCUGCUGAAGGUAUGGAAAACGAGGUCUGUUUUCUGGGACUUGCCGUACUAGAAGAUCCUCCGUGUGCCACACAUCCUUGAUGUCAUGCAUAUCACGAAGAACGUGUGCGAGAGUCUGCUUGGUACCCUGCUCAACAUGCCAGAGAGGACCAAAGAUGGACCGAAAGCAAGGGCAGACUUGAAAUCAAUGGGCAUGAGGGAGGAGCUUCACGCUAAUAAUGAUGAUGAUGAGGCGAAGCAGGACACGGAAAGUCGUCGCUAAGGCAAAAAUUCCAAGAAGACCGGAAAUGACUUCCCUCCCGCGUGCUUCACUCUAAGUCAGGAGGAGAUCGAUCAGUUUUUCACCUCCCUCGUAGGAGUAAAACUUCCUUACGGUUACGAGGGGAAGAUAAGCAGAUACCUAGACUCAGCGAAGAAGAAGUUUAGCGGGAUGAAGUCUCACGACUGUCACGUGCUGAUGACGCAGAUACUUCCAGUUGCAAUCCGUGGGAUCAUGGACGCGCAAGUCCGUGAAACGCUAUUUGGCCUAUGCAACUUUUUCGACGUCAUCUCUCAGAAGUCGGUUGGCGUGAGGCAACUCAGAAGGCUACAGGAAGAGAUCGUGGUGAUACUAUGUGAGCUUGAGAUGUACUUCCCACCCGCAUUCUUCGAUGUUAUGGUGCAUCUGCUGGUCCAUAUCGUGGAGGAUAUCAUCCAACUCGGGCCGACGUUCCUGCACAACAUGAUGCCGUUCGAAAGGAUGAAUGGUGUCAUCAAAGGAUACGUUCGCAACAUGUCACGUCCAGAGUUAAGCAUAGCCAGGGGAUUUCUGACCGAAGAGUGCAUCUCCUACUGCAUGAAUUAUCUAGGCAUCGAGAACCCCGUUGGUCUGCCCGUCAACAGGCACCUCGGUAGGCUCGCAGGAUGGGGUCAUCGUGAGGGUCCCCGCGAAAUGCAUGUCGACUUCGAGGGUCGACUCGCCGACUUUGAAAGAGCAAACCUAGUCGCGCUACAACACAUAGACGUGGUCGAUCCUUGGGUCGUAGAGCACAAAACCUUUAUUGAAAAGACGUACAAUGUCCGAGGCCAAUAGAGGACGGACGGAGAUAUAAUCAAAGAGCACAACUCAUGUUGCAUGCGUUGGUUCAAGCAGAAGCUUCUGUCGUACCCUUUACAUGAGGAUUCUUCCAUGGAAGAACAACUCAUAUUCGCCUUGUCACUGGGCGCCGAGCACAACCUGAUGACGUAUGAGGCGUACGGUACCAACGGCUACUCAUUCUACACCGAGGGAAAGGACAUGAAGAGAGAUGGUUAUCAGAACUCCGGGGUAACGAUGGAAUCCUACACCGGUAACGAGAAGGACAGAUGCGACAGAAGGAUCGAGGAGAUCUGGGAGCUAAGCUACGCUGGAGAGAAGGUCCCGAUGUUCCGUGUCAGAUGGGCCAAGAGCGUCAUAAAAGAAGACCGGUAUUUCACCACCAUGGUUAUACCCGAAGCAAAAUCCAAGACCGCAGGCGCAAACGUCACCGCGAAAAAUGAGCCAUGGGUACUGGCUUCCCAAGUGGACCAAUGCUUCUUCAUUAUCGACCCGCCAAAGUCCGGUCGUGUUGUCGUGAGGAGAGGCAAAAGGAAGAUCAUCGGAAUGGAUGGAGUCGCCAAUGAGCAAGACUUCGACAAGUAUGGUGACCCGAAGAUGGAACAUGACGACGAUGAUGAAGUACCAGCAUACACCACAAGAAGAAGCAGGACCACCCUACCUAAAGGACGUCCGUUCAAGAGAAGAACUCCAUUUACGAAAAAUAAGGGCAAGAAGAUUGUGAACAAAUAGCUAGCUAAGAUCGAUUGUAUUUAAAUUUGAUGAUAUUUUUUCAUAUUCAAUAUGAAAAGAUACUGAAUAUUCAUGAGGACACUCGAUCUCGAUCCCCUCCAUCUCGAUCGAUAUAACCCCUCGCAAGAUCCCCCUCGCCGCCGAGCACCCCCCGCACCCUCCCCCGCUCCACCGCACUAGAUGUUGUUGUGAGGCACUAGAUAUUCAUAGGCAUCUAACUGCAAACAUAAAAAAAACAUACUAGACAUCUACUUGCAAACAUCAAAAAAAAAUUCUAGGCACUUCUCAAACCAAGGUGCAACCAGCACAAGAAAACAAUGCAUAGAAAAAAAGAGGAAAAAAAGAGGGGGGAAGAGGAUUCGAACCCGCAACCUCCUGCUAGGAGGCAAAACCCACGGACCACUGCGCUGCUACUUUGGAGGUUAACAACAUAGAGAAGUCGCACCUCAUAUACAUGCGCCAUUACUAUAUAAAAAAACAUUCUAAUGGCGCACCGCUCAGGGUGCGCCAUUCCUAAGUCGGGUCGCGCCCUCCUAUCUUCUCCCGCGGCCUCCCCCCUACCCCCUUUCCACCAAACAGCAGCGCCCGCCGUCUCCCCGCUCGCCGACCACCGCCGGACCUACUUGCUUUCUUUCUUGGUUCGUGGGAUUCGGCCCGGGUUCCGCCGCCGCCAAGCCCAGCCCAGCGGCCGCGCCGGAGGCGUGGGUGAUCGGUUUUUCCGGAGCCCGCUGUCCUCCUCCACCUACAGCUCGUCCCCUCUACGGUCGCGCCGCCGUUCGUGGUUGGGCUUCGACGAGGUGAGUAGAAGAGCACCACCGACGGCUCCUUCUUCAGAUUCCGGUGAGUCGUCUUCCACCUCCCCGUUCAUCCCCUUCUCCUUGCGGCGGUGACCUAGGGUUAGGUUUAGGAGCUCAAUAGUCAAUAGUCAAUAAGGAAUUUUGUGAAUUCUGUCGGCCCGUGCUCGAUUUGGUGCGGUUCUUCGAGCUGCUGCCUAGGGUUGUUCGUCCGCCUGGCCUGCCCCUUUUUUGUGUCCAACACAAAGCAGGCUUGAUAUGUCUUCUGUCCCUUUAUGCUAAAUUACCCACUUUUGCCCUGGAGUGUGGUCUCGGACUUGUUUGCUUGGUCUAUUUCUGUUUGCGUCUAGCCAAGGGUCUGAUUUGACCAUGCAAAAGUAAUCGAUUCAAUUGCUAUAGAAGAGCUAGUAUUUUUUGGUUUGUUUGUCACUAAAUGGUGGUGCAAAACCAUGAUGCUUCUGUUUGUUUUCUGGAUUCUGUUGGCUUAUGGGAGAGUUGGCUCAGUUGCUUGGUUUCUGUCGUAAACUUGUUCUUGAUGCUAAUAAUGUUCUAGUUUCUUCUGUGGGGAAGGGCCACUUGUCAGAUAUCUUUGUGUACGGUGGUCUUCUGCAUCAUAUGGAAAUUCUCCAUCUAGUGUAGUCAAUAGAUGUUGUUAAGUGACUGUGUCAUGGUUUUGGUUCUGUUUUUAAAGAGGAAAGCCAGUUUUUUUCAGGCUUCAAGAAAAUAAUUUCCCAGAAUAAUACUGCUAAGCCCAAGCUUGUUAAUCGGCAUGUACUUCUCUGUUAUAUAUUGCUAAUGUCUGCUCUGAUGUGCUUGGUAUUGUAAAGUGUCUUUUUUCUACAUCAAUAGCCUUUAUGCAUCCAAGUUAUCAAACUAUGUGAACUAGAAAUGAUAAUAGAGAGAAUUGAUCAUUACUUUUCUGAACUGUUGCAGAAGUCUCAAUAGUUCUUUCAAGUUCAUACAUUGAAAGGAUUGUUUCACAAAUAGAGUGAGGCUUAGCUCUGGAUCAGGAGUAAGACCUUUCCAGCUUAUACCAAGCUCAGGUCUGGUUGGUGGUUUAAGUUGCAAAUCUAAGGUAACAUCAGCUGCUCCACUCUUAUUAGAAAGUUGAUAUGCAUUCGACGGUUUCAGAGUAUUGUCAAUAUUUAGACUAAGCUGACUGCUGACUGAAGAAAAGGGUGCCACUGAGGGAACAUGUGCUUUCUGAUGCUGAAAGAUUCUAUGAUGGGGUAUGUUCAAACCAGCCAGCAUUGUAGGCAAACCUUCAAGUUGAUCAACCGGGUCCGGUGAUACAUUAAGAUCUAAAUUAGAUAGUUUUCCCAAUCUAGCAUUAGAAUAAGAUUCUGUGCCACUUGUUGUUUGCACAUCCUUGGGAGGUCUUGCUGAAGGAAAAAUAGAAAACCCCUGAUCUAGUUUAUCUCUCUUGACAGGGGAACUUGAGUUGAUUUUGGCAUUCUGACGAGACGCUAACUGUAAAUCUAGAGUUAGAAACUUGUGACUCUGUGAUCUGGCAACGGGAGCAACACUCCCCAGUCUACCACUCUCUCCACGAGAGGGGGUCUCGUUUGAGCCAUUAAGUAGCACACCUUUCUUCUCGUUCGUUGCUGGAGUAAAACAUCUACUGGGAAUAUCUAAUUUAGAUCUAUUCAAGACAGGCUCAUUGCUAAAGACCAGCAACUACCAAGUAAUAUUUGCACAUAGGUUGUAAGACAUUAACCCAGCCAGUUCAAGAGUAAAUAGUUCGUUUGCCUGCCAACGUCAGAACAAAUGGAGCAAUCAUCUGACAAAAACAUGGAGCAUAAAUAAAACAGCAAGUAGGCAUGAAGAGAAGACAUAAAGCAUCAUUGUUCCCCAUUAGCAUAUAGUAUACCGACGACAACCAAACUACAAAAGGCCUACCUAUCCGUGUCAUUUCAAGGUCUAUUAAGCAGUGAGUUUAAGACACUGAAAUGCAUUGAUACAAGAGACACAUCUUGGUUCUUGAAACUUUGUAAACCAAAAAUUCAUACUACUAACUAGUUAUGCCCAUGGUCAGCCACCGAACCCGAUGCUCCAAAACCAGAAUUGGCACUCUAGUGGAGAUGUCAUUUGUUCUACUUCCAUCACCCCCUGGGCUUAAAUACACAUAAUGUGACUCUGCCCGCUUAUUUCACUAGCAUUGAUACAAGAGGCUUAUUUCACUAGCCUGCCAAGAUUUCUUGCAGAUUUCAUAUUUAACAUGUUGUAUUUAACCUUUUUUUCUUAUCAGUUUCAUCCUUAUAUGACUCUGCAACAUAAUAAAGGUGGUUGAAGAAAGUUGUGCACACGCAAGAAAGUUGGUAGUAGUAUUAGUAGUUUGGGCUAUUCGUUUUUGAGCCCGGGCUCACCCUUCUCCGAGCUCUCCGACCAUCGUGUCAUGAUGAUUUUGCAGGUACCCCAAGAGGCCCUUGAGUUUGCUGGAAUGUCGAUUAACUUCCGUUCCGGCAAAUUCGGGUACUCCAUAUGUCCUAUUUUCAGCAAAGGUCAUGCUGAAAUUUUUCGUGAAUUUUAGCAUGACUUUGCUAAAAAUAGGACAUAUGGGGUACUUGCGACUAAUGCAUGGG